GCAAAUACAAUCACUUGCAAAGCGCACCGACCGUCAUCGGCUAACGCUUAUGUUCCCUCGCCUCGCCCUAACUGGAUUUGUAUGCAGUCGGCUAAUGCCCUGACCUACGACGAGCUUCAGGGCCUGACCUACCUCCAGGUUAAGGGCACUGGCAUUGCCAACACCUGCCCUGUCCUGGAGAAGGGCUCGACUGACCUGUCGGAGCUGUCUGCCGGCACCUACAAGCUGGAGAACUUCUGCAUCGAGCCCACCUCUUUCACUGUUAAGGAGGAGAGCGUGUUCAAGGGUGGCGAGACUGAGUUCGUGAAGACGAAGCUCAUGACCCGCCUGACCUACACCCUGGACGCCGUGAGUAGAGUAUCAGUAUUCCUCGUUAAUACUUUGAUGAUGAUCAGCAAACUGCGCUUGGGGAUUCGUUCAAUGCCCGGCUUGGUUAAGUUCCUGAUCAGCGGCACAUGUUAACGUUAUACCUGCACCUUCCCAUAAUGCAGAUGAGCGGCACCCUGAAGGUUGGCUCUGAUGGCUCGGCUGAGCUGAAGGAGGAGGACGGCAUUGACUACGCUGCUACCACCGUGCAGCUGCCGGGUGGUGAGCGCGUUGCUUUCCUGUUCACCAUCAAGCAGUUCGACGGCAAGGGCACCCUGGAUAACAUCAAGGGUGACUUCGUUGUGCCCUCCUACCGCGGAUCGUCCUUCCUGGACCCCAAGGUACGCGCAUAUGCAUGGCACGAUGAGCGGGGUUGGGUAUCAUGUUUUUUUUAAAGGGGUGUCGUUUGCAUCUGGCGGUGGCGCUCAGAAAUCUUGUGGCUUCCUCUCACCUUGACCCCUUCCCCCCAAUCCAACAGGGCCGCGGUGGCUCGACCGGCUACGACAACGCCGUUGCCCUGCCGGCUCGCGCUGAUGCCGAGGAGCUCUUGAAGGAGAACGUUAAGUCGACCAAGGCUCUUAAGGGCUCGGCCGUUUUCUCCGUUGCCAAGGUGGGUCUGAUUUUGUUGCCGGACCUCCAGCUGGGUAGAUUUGGGUCUGAACAGCCCGAGCUUCAUUCGUGUCUUUGGCACCAAACGUCACCGAACCCGAAAUUCCUGCUGCCACAGGUGAACACCGCGACUGGCGAGAUUGCUGGUGUCUUCGAGAGCAUUCAGCCCUCGGACACUGAUCUGGGUGCCAAGCCUCCCAAGGACAUCAAGAUCACCGGCCUGUGGUACGGCCAGCUGUCCCAGUAAGGGAGCAGCUGCUGAGGAUCGGAUGACGGUACAGGAGCUUGCUGCUGUGCUUUUCUGACCCUGAGUAUGCAUUGGAGCCCGUGGAGAAACUUCGGAGGAGCGAGCGGGUUCGGGUCGAUGUGUUCAUGUGGCUAACGAGGUUGGGGCGGCUUGCAGCGGUCUGGCUGCUUGCGCUGUCGGCAGAAGUCGGCUUGGCGGUUGCUAUCGUGGGAAGAAGUGGGAAGGAGAAGGCGGUCCAUCGGAGCGCGCCAGUCGCAUUACCUGAGAAGACGAAGCAUGUUUGUUGUAGUCGCUGGUGCUUCUUCUGGAGGUUUUCGGUAGUUCGUAUGUGCCGGCUGCUGGGAGAGGUGUCACGGCGCUUGUCUGGCAAUAAGAGCUUGUAACCGCUUUGCACCGUCUACAGAACGCUUGCAACUGUCGGUGUCGAGCCUCUUGUGCGUGUAACGAUUGGGCACUUAAGCCCUGCAGUUUUGUUCAUAGUUGUAACGCUACACGCAGUUCGAGCCUCCACCUCUGAUUCCCACUGAACUGCACUCAGGGUAGAUAGCGCGAGAUACAUGCAUACAUACGGAUGCAGCAAUCAUCUAUGAAAAUCGUUCACUACUCACUACCGGCGCUUCCAAGAAGGAAAAACCAUUGCACGGAACAUCACGUUCCCUCACUCAGCAACAGUUUGUUCUUUGAUCUUACGGUGAUCAUACUCCAUACAUGUCAGGCGUUGCUUUCCACUAGGAAAGAGACUACGAUGGUACACGUGUAGACAUUAACGCAGGCGGCUGGCAGAGGUUAAGGCCUGACUUCUGCUCCCGGAGUGUCCGGAUUCAGUGGCCCCCCAUCUUAUGGACGGUGUCGGACGUGAUAACAUCAAGUUGCCAGCUGACCAGGAACUAAGUUGAGGCGCCGUUGAAUCGCUAGAUUUGGUUGGAUGCUGGUGGUGAGUUGCUGAACCGAACGGAUACAUUCUGAAGUCGGAUGGGGUGAACGGAUUAGGGUGCCCCUCUAGCAGGGGAGAGCAGGGAACUGCCUCGGGAAAGGGGGCCCCUGGUGAAGCUAUAUCACCCUGUAACAACAUACAUUAACGCAAUCGGCGUUGCUGCAAGGGAUCGCGAGUUAGAUGUACGGCGUCUAGUUAUGUUUGACUGUAUUGUUCAGGAUAUGCCAAUUUUUUUAUUGUAUAGAUGCGCAACCUAGUGGGAACUGGAUUCCUAACGCAAGUUGAAUUGCCAAUUUCAGCCAUGAACGUCGCAAAACUUACCUCAGGUGCGUUCUCUACCAAUAUUGACACAAGUUGUGAACAUAAAGUGUGAAUACAGUUACCUUGCCCUAUGCUCCCUAAAUCACAACUCUUUCGGUAGUUAAAGCAUCUUGCGUAGCGGCGGCUUCGCCAUUCCUCUCACGAUACCGUUCCACUAAUUUGUUGCAGGCCUGGCCAGCAAGCGAUGUCUCCGGGUGGUGGCUCCUGCCCGCUUCGGAAGAGGUAAAAACGCUGCGCUGUAUUGCUGGUUCGGUUUGGUGGGGUUUUCGGUGUGAAGCCACCGCUUGUGUCUUCUGCAUAGUCUCCCGUCCCGCACAAACGAAAAUUGGCGUCAUGCCUGUCUCCACUUCUGCUUUCACUCUUCAGGUCUAAGCACUCGGGUGGCAGCAUCCGCCUCGCCCGGGGGCCCCGGCGGUGACUUUGACUUUGACCUUUUCACCAUCGGCGCCGGCAGCGGCGGCGUCCGGGGAUCACGCUUCGCCGCCUCCUACGGUGCGUUCUCAUGUGCAGCUAUGCAUGUGCGUGCGUGCGUGUGUGUGCUUGUGUAUGUGCGCGUGAGCCGCCUUUUUUGGGGGUGGUUGUGCGCUGGCCCCGUGCGGCCCCGUGGGAUUCAUGGCCACCCGGCUGGGAAAGGCUCUUUACCUCCCAAGCCACGUCCGGCACGAUCCACUCCGGACUAGCCAGCGGGGUCCCCUUGUGUCCCCUUCUUCCCCUUUGGUUCCCCUGACCGUGUUCCGGACACCAUGUCGCACCGAAAAAACCCGGUGCGUCCCCCUACCUACCGGGACCUCACCCCGCCAUCUGCGGCUUAUUCCCCCCUCAUCCAACCACACUGUCCAAAUACUUCCGGGGGUGUACCCCCGAAGCCUGAUUGCGGAUUUUGUCCGCCUUAAAAAGUCGGACUUAUCAAAAGGGGGAAUCGGAGAUUUUUUCCUAAUCCCUGCUGCUGCUUGCGACCUGGCGUCCCUGAGGUUCCUUGAUGCGUUUCUCUCUCCCUCCCUCCCACCCACCCACCCACCCAUCCGCCUAUUCCUCAGGCGCCAAGGUGGCGGUGUGUGAGCUGCCCUUCGAUUACGUGAGCUCCGAAACUCGUGGGGGUGUGGGCGGUACCUGUGUGCUGCGUGGCUGUGUGCCCAAGAAGCUCAUGGUGUAUGCCUCCGAGUACGCGGACGACUUCCGGCACGCGGCGGGAUUCGGGUGGGGGUGGCUGUGGGGGUGGGGGUGGUUCGCAUGCGGGUCCUGAGGUUCCCAUGGGCCCUACGUGAGGGUGGGGAAGGAGGGGGAAUGGGAGGCGAUGGGGCUGGUCUGGGGACUUCAGGCCGGGUUGGGGAGGGCGCGAUAGAUGGCUGGGGUGUGGCUGUGUGCACGUUUGCAGGUAGGGGCAGGUCCGCCUCUACGGAGGCCUACCCUGGGGGAAGCGGCCCCCGAAUGAGUUUCGGAGGCUACCCGGGACAGGAGUGACAGGAGUGACUUUCCUCUCACACUCUCAGGGCCAGUGAGAGGACAGUGAGGUGGCGGCCGCAGCGUGCGACCAUGCAACAGGAACAGGGGAAGGGCCGGGGGAGAGGGCAGAGCAGGGAAAUGCGGGUAGUGGUGGCCGCGACCUGCAACACAUACCCGGGCAUUGUACAUGUUUUGGGGGGGGGUAGGCGGGGUCACCUCACGUCGCCUCGCAUCACCUCAUGUUGGUCCUGUGCCUCGCUACAUGCAUGGAGCUCCGUAACCCCUCCGCCCCCCGACCCCAGCCCACCCCGCACAUCUGGUACACUCUUGCCCUGGCAGCAGCUUCACUCGUUCACGUGGUUCGUCUUACCCCUCAGCCCACCCCGCACAUCUGCGAUACUUGGUUCUUUGGACGUCGGGGAAUUCGUGCUUCCGCUGCCUGUGUACCAUAUCAUCCCUACACGUGAUAUACCGCCCCCCCCCACUAUGUUCAUUUCCUUGCAUAUGAUACCCUCGAUGAUUCCUUUCCGGAGCCUGUUUCCUCACCCCCAUAUCUUGCUCGGUGUGUGUGCGCGCGCGUGUGUGUGUGUGUGCGUGUCCGCUUCCCCCCUCAGUUGGUCGGUUCCCACGGAGGGACUGCAACACAGCUGGACCUCCUUCAUCGAGGCGAAGAGAAAGGAGCUGCAGGUACGGGGACAGGAAAGGGGGGAAAGGCGACGAGGGGGUUGCUUGGGUGGGUGGAAAGACGGGGUAUUAUGUGCAACAAGGGGGGAAGGGGGGAGGGGUAUGUAAAGCGGGUCUAGAGAGAGGGAAAUGGGUGGGGAGUUCAGGGGUGGUAGAAGCGGACCAGGAUGUUAUACACACACGCAAACAUGCACAGCUGCAAGAGAGGAGGGGGCUGAGGCAGAGCGGGUGGGUUGGCUGUGGAUGUGUGUGUGGGGGGGGUUGCCUGGGGUCCGCCCAAGCUGUAAGCCCCCCUUCCACCCUUUCGGCUCGCUUGCUUUGUUUGUCAUUGCCCUCCCUCCCGUCUCACUUCACUCGUUCGUGGUUCGUCUUUCCCUUCCCGCCUCUUUCUCAUACUUCGAUUUCCUCCCCUUUCCCUGUAGCGUCUCAAUAACGCCUACAAGAACACGCUUGGCAAUGCCAAGGUGACUCUGCUCGAGGGUCGGGGUCGAGUGGUGGACCCGCAUACCGUGGAGGUGAGCAGGAGGGGGAGGGGGAGGGGAGGAGGGGGAAAAGGUGGGGGAUUGCAUGUGGUAGCAAUAUCGAGAAGGAAAACAGCUGCCGACACGUCGAUGACCGUUGCCAACUGGAGGGCUAGAGGAAGGAAGGAGAGGGGGAUUCCGAAAAGGAGUAACACCUUAUCAGGUGGCACGGAUGUAUGUAUGUACGUAUGUAGGUAGGUAGGUAUGCAACAGGAGUUACAGGGCCUUGUGCGUUCGAAAAGAGUUAGAGGCAGGUGAAGCGUAAGUGUGUUGGGGGGCCGCCCUAAGUAAGGGGAAGCGGAGCGUUCUUCCUCUCCCGCUCCUCCCGAUCAACUACUUCUUAUAUGUGAUUCCUCCACCCGUCCGUUCAUUCCUUACAUCCUUUUCGCCCCCCCUCUCGCCCCCCCCCCGUCCCCUCUCCUAGGUGGAUGGUAGGCGGUAUAGCGCCAAGAACAUCCUGAUCGCGGUGGGUGGUAAGCCCAGCAAACUGGAUAUCCCCGGGGCGGAGCUGUGCAUCACCUCUGACGAGGCUCUGGAGCUGCCGGAAUGCCCCCGCAAGGUGGGGGGAGCCUGGGGGGGAAAGAGGGAGGAAGAGGGGAAAAAGGAACGACGGAUGACGGGGAGAGGGGAGGGGAAGAGGGAGUAUGCUUAUGUGUGAAGGUUUUUGGGGGAGGAUGUGGGCGGGGGGUUUCGGGCGGGGGGGUAAGUGUGGCCGUGGUAGGGGUGGCUGAUCAGGCGGCCAUCGCCACCAUCCCUCAUAGUAUUGGUACUGCCAACAACUGCCCCACCCCACCUUACAACUAGAGCUUCCUCUUCUGGCAGCCGUUCUCCCACAUAUGCAUGCACCGUACCAUGCAUUGUACCAUGCCCCAUCACUACAUGCCCCAUCACUACAUGCCCCAUCACUACAUGCCUCGCUCACCCGCCGCCGCCUGCCAUCGGACCUCCCAAGAGGAACCUCUCCUCCCUUGCCCCCGCCAUGUGUCCCUUCCUCCGUCCGUCCUUUCCCCCCUUAUCCCCCUCCCCUUCGUCCCCCUCGCAGGUUGCCGUACUGGGAGGUGGCUACAUCGCGGUGGAGUUCAGCGGUAUAUUCGCACGUAUGGGGGCGGAGGUGCACACCGUGUACAGGCAACCACUGCCGCUCCGGGGCUUUGACGGGGAGGUGAGGGGGCUUGGGGGGUAACGGUUGGCGGGGCGGGGCUAUCGGGGUAACCGUGGGGGGGGGCCGGCUGGGGGGAACGGGUAUGGAAGAGCAGGCGCUCCGUUUUCAUUCGUCGGUCUCCCCCUACAAACAAACACAUACCUGUUCCCACACUCUCCCCCUCUUCCCUCUUCCCACCCCACGUCACUCCCCAGGUUCGGAAGUUCGCGGCCGAGCAGUACGCUGCCGCGGGCCUUGUACUGCACCCGGAACUGACCCCGCAGUCGGUUAGUCGACAGUUGGAUGGGCGGUUGAGUCUGGUGGUUGCCCGGAGCGAUGGCAGUACGGAGGUCCUUCAAGAUCUGGAUCAGGUGCUCAUGGCCACGGGUAAGGAACACCCUAGUGUGCCCCCGCCCGGGGGGUAGAAAGGGGGACAGGGGGAGACGGGUUUUCCUUUGGAAGGGUGUAUUAUGGAGGUGUCUGUGAGUCCAGGUGGUGUUUUGUUUGGCUGUGGACCGCAGCGCCGUGAGAACUUCCAGACUACCUUACCUUACCUUUCGUCAUUGAUCGGCGGCAUUUUACCCACAUCACAACGUCCCUGAGCCGCUGAGCAUGGAAUCCAUUAUUUUAUAUCAUACAGCAGCAGCAGAAACAACAGCAAGUAUGUAAUAUCCCGAAUAACAAAUACUUUUGUAGAAUGCUAACAAUACCAAUAGAACGCUAACAGCCACAACAAUGCAAAAGAGGGACGUGACCAAACCUUCCGCCCCUUCCUCCUCUGCCUCCUCCCCUCCCCCUUCUGCUCAGGCCGCGUGCCCAAAACCGAUGGAUUGGGAUUGGCUGAGGCGGGGGUGGAGCUGGGGCCCAAGGGGCAGGUGCUGGUGGACGAGUAUUGCCGUACUGCCGUACCAUCUAUCUGGGCGGUAGGUGACGUCAUCGACCGCAUCCAGCUAACUCCAGGUAUGGAUGACUUGGUUUUAGAGGUGUACGGCAGUUAAUGUAUCCAUACCAUGGCCCAGAAGACACCAAUCCACUCUGUGAAACUCAUUAGGGGAUUGCGGGUUCCACCAGGGUGUACGGAAGAUGGCGGUCACCUUGGCCGCGGCCUCCGCAGCAGCACUGCCGAAGGAGAGCUCUUGCAGCCUCAGGAAGAGGGCACCUCACCUCUUCCCCCCCCCCCCACACACAACCGCACACACACGCACACACACGCACACACACGCGAACAUGUGUUAUAUUGUACCCCACACCACACUCCGGAUGCGCCGUCUUCCUGUUCCCUUCAUUUCCGGCAGCUCCGGGCCGCCGCUCUCUUUUAUGGCCCUCGGUCAGAUAGCGGCCUGGUUCCUGGUCUCAACACCAGCUCGUCCAACCAACCAACCAACCGUCUCCACCACUUGGAACACAUCCUACUUCCUUCUCCACAGAACCGCAGAACUCCUUGCCGGACGACCCCCUUGAGACCGUGCAUAAUGCCGAACAAGAAGCGCCUGUCGUUCUCCCCCUCCUGCACGACCAUUAACCCCGCUAUUAUGCCCACGUAACCGCAUAUCCUGCAUGUUUUGCUUAUUUGCCCGUCUGUCUGUCUGCCUGUCUGUCUGUCUGUCUGUCCGUUUAUCUGUUCAUCGCAGUUGCCCUGAUGGAGGGCAUGGCGGUGGCCAAGUCCGUGGCUCUCAACCAGCUCACCCAGCCCGACUACUGGGCGGUGCCCUCCGCCGUGUUCUCAAACCCCGAGAUCGCGACGGUGGUGAGUGCGAGUGCCGAAUCAGGAAACUCGGUCCAGGGGUGGGUCUAAUAAGAAGACAGGCAGACAUACAUACAGAUGGGUGGAUGUACAUACAGAUGCGAAGAUCGGUAGGAGGCAGACGGAUGAUAUAGACAUGGCCGACAGACUGACGAAAAGUGAUGUGCAGGCUCAACGGAGGGUGAACGGAGAAACAGACAGACGAACCUUGUUUAGCCAGCCAUGCUGCAUCCCCGUUUGGAUGACGUAGUUUUGGCGUGUGUCUAGCUAGGCCUCUGCUGCUGCUGCUGCUUGGCUGUCUGCGUUGCAACCGCCAGUCCCGGCUAGUUGCUUUCCCCGGCGGGGAACACCCCACCCGGCGGAAAGGCAGAGGGGCCGACCCAAAUACCUCUCGGCCGGGGUAGGGUGCCUGUCCAUGUACUGCCCAAGUACUGCCCAAGUACCUACUGCCACCUUGGGCCCCUGUAUAUAUAUAUGUAAUGCAUAUAGACGUACAGUAUGGCCACAGCCACCCCUCCGUUACAUACAGCCCCGCUGGCGUCUUGCUUGCUUUCCUGCAUGUGCGCACAUGCCUCUCCCCCCCCGGCCCUGGCAGCAGCUUCACUCGUUUGUGGUUCGUCCUUCCCCCCCGGCCCCUCCUGGAAGUCGCUGAUGUGGACAGUGUCCUCAGGGGGCAGUUGGACGCCGCCACCUAACAUGCAGACCACUGCUGCCCCUCACCAACAUGCUGCUGCCGGAACUGUAAAGUUUCCGUUAGUAUAUAGUGAUUUUUUUUCUUCCGACUGGCCUUUAUCGCCAAUUUUGUGUGGAUGUGUGAUGCUUGUCCACGUAAAUUGAAGUUUCCUACCCCCAAGUCCUGUUGCCAAGUAUCAUCCACAGAACAUUCUCUCAGGGGUCUUCCUAUCCUCCUCACCUCAUCAGCCUCGCCUCACUUCACCGAUCUCCUUCCCGCCCCGCCCCGGCUCCUGACCUGACCUGACCACCACCACCACCACCACCACCUGCCCCGAAGGGUUACACCGAGGAGGCCGCCUCCGCCCGGUUCGGUGACCUGGACAUCUACACCGCCUCCUUCCGGCCCAUGAGGAACACCGUCAGCGGCAGCCCCCUGAGGACCUUCAUGAAGGUGAGAGAGUGCGGGUGGNNNNNNNNNNNNNNNNNNNNNNNNNNNNNNNNNNNNNNNNNNNNNNNNNNNNNNNNNNNNNNNNNNNNNNNNNNNNNNNNNNNNNNNNNNNNNNNNNNNNNNNNNNNNNNNNNNNNNNNNNNNNNNNNNNNNNNNNNNNNNNNNNNNNNNNNNNNNNNNNNNNNNNNNNNNNNNNNNNNNNNNNNNNNNNNNNNNNNNNNNNNNNNNNNNNNNNNNNNNNNNNNNNNNNNNNNNNNNNNNNNNNNNNNNNNNNNNNNNNNNNNNNNNNNNNNNNNNNNNNNNNNNNNNNNNNNNNNNNNNNNNNNNNNNNNNNNNNNNNNNNNNNNNNNNNNNNNNNNNNNNNNNNNNNNNNNNNNNNNNNNNNNNNNNNNNNNNNNNNNNNNNNNNNNNNNNNNNNNNNNNNNNNNNNNNNNNNNNNNNNNNNNNNNNNNNNNNNNNNNNNNNNNNNNNNNNNNNNNNNNNNNNNNNNNNNNNNNNNNNNNNNNNNNNNNNNNNNNNNNNNNNNNNNNNNNNNNNNNNNNNNNNNNNNNNNNNNNNNNNNNNNNNNNNNNNNNNNNNNNNNNNNNNNNNNNNNNNNNNNNNNNNNNNNNNNNNNNNNNNNNNNNNNNNNNNNNNNNNNNNNNNNNNNNNNNNNNNNNNNNNNNNNNNNNNNNNNNNNNNNNNNNNNNNNNNNNNNNNNNNNNNNNNNNNNNNNNNNNNNNNNNNNNNNNNNNNNNNNNNNNNNNNNNNNNNNNNNNNNNNNNNNNNNGUGGGCGGGUGGAGGGAGUGCGGGUGGGCGGGUGGAGGGAGGGGAGGGGAGGGAGGGAGGGAGGGGGGGAGUGCGGGUGGGCGGGGGGGUCCUAGCCUCUGCACUCUGCGCGUGUGGGAGGUGUGCUGGUGCUUUGCACUGUGCAUCAUCAUCACCAUCACCACCAUCAUAUCAUCAUCAUCGUAUCAUCACCAUCAUCACCAUCAUCAUCACCAUCAUCACCAUCAUCAUCACCAUCAUCAUCACCAUCAUCAUCACCAUCAUCAUCACCAUCAUCAUCACCAUCAUAUCACCAUCAUCACCAUCAUCACCAUCAUCAUCAUCAUCAUCAUCAUCAUCACCACCAUCACCAUACCAUCAGCACCACCAGCAGCACCACCAGCAGCAGCAGCAGCACCACCAUCACCACCAUCACCAUCCCACCGGAUGACCGGGCUCGCGUUCAGGAAAUUGACUGCUGGAUUCGUGAGCCCGAGGGUUUUCUGUUCCGGACCCCCCUUCCCCCCUCCUCUUACCCCUUCUCUUACCCCCUCCUCUUCACCCUCCUCUUCACCCUUCUCUUACCCCCCCUCUUCACCACUCGUUUGUGGUUCGUCUUUCCCCCCUCUUCACCCUCCUCUUACCCCUCCUCUUCCCGUGCUCCCCGCCCCUGAAACGCCCUACUCAUCUCCUCUUCCUCUGUAUCACGCCUGUCUUCGUCUGCCAUGUACGGCAGAUUGUGGUGGAUGCAGCUUCUCAGAAGGUGGUGGGCAUGCACAUGGUUGGGGCCGAGGCGGCGGAAAUUAUGCAGGUGGGGCAUACAGCGAGCGCGACAUUCGUAUAGCGCCUAUUCGUAUGUAUGUAUGUAUGUAUGUAUGUAUGUAUGUAUGUAUGUAUGUAUGUAUGUAUGUAUGUAUGUAUGUAUGCAUGUAUGCAUGGGAACGUUUUUUCCCGGCCCCCAUAUCCUUUUUUGUCCUUCGAGUUUACCUUCAAAAGUAUUGCGUAAUUUCCCCUCCAUCGUUCUCUCCGUGUUCACGAUUUCACUGGCUUCGCAAUGUUGCGAAGUCGAAUCGUACCUUGUACCUUGUACCUCCGGCCCCUCCGGCCCCCACACACCGUCAGCGGUCGUUUUCACUCAGUUCCGGAUCACCCACGGACCCAACACUGCACUGGCCCCCUCCCGCUUCCCAUGUAGGGCUUCGCUGUGGCGGUCAAGGUGGGGGUGACUAAGGCGCAACUGGACAGCGUGGUGGGAAUACAUCCCAGUGCAGCGGAGGAGGUGGGUGCCGUACAUAGGGGGGUGGGGAAACUGCCACGGGUUCGAGCUAUUCAGGGAGUGGGCGUAUGGGGGCAUCCGUGGUGGGUGGAGAAGGGUAGGCAGGUACAGGUGGGGGGUCCAUUGGGUGUACGGCCAAGCAGGUACAGGUGGGGGGUCCAUUGGGUGUACGGCCAAGCAGGUACAGGUGGGGAGUCCAUUGGGUGUACGGCCAAGCAGGUACAGGUGGGGAGUCCAUUGGGUGUACGGCCAAGCAGGUACAGGUGGGGAGUCCAUUGGGUGUACGGCCAAGCAGGUACAGGUGGGGAGUCCAUUGGGUGUACGGCCAAGCAGGUACAGGUGGGGGGUCCAUUGGGUGUACGGCCAAGCAGGUACAGGUGGGGAGUCCAUUGGGUGUACGACCAAGCAGGUACAGGUGGGGGGUCCAUUGGGUGUACGGCCAAGCAGGUACAGGUGGGGGGUCCAUUGGGUGUACGGCCAAGCAGGUACAGGUGGGGAGUCCAUUGGGUGUACGACCAAGCAGGUACAGGUGGGGGGUCCAUUGGGUGUACGACCAAGCAGGUACACCCUGGUGCAGACGUGUUUUUGAGCAUCACGACUUUUGCGGCUGCAUGGGAGUUUGAGAACUGCCUUGCGGCUCGUGGCCCUGGUCAAAUCCUCCUCCGUCCCUUCCACUCCGCAGUCUAUUUCCACUUCACGAUUGCUGCACGCAUACGAGUUCCUCCCGCUCUUCCCCGGCCUUUUCGCAGUGCUGCUUUCCCUGCAGGCCCUUCCCGUAGCCCCCUAUUGGUGCACCCACACCGCUUUCAAAGGCCUGUGCUUGAAGGGAGUCUGGUCAGAUCCCGUUUCUCUCUUCCCGUGUAUCUUAUGUAUCCGUUCUCUCCGACCUCUCUUAAGCUACCUCCCUACCCCUCUGCCCCGCCCUCCUCACCCCCACCCGCUUGCGGCAGUUCGUCACCAUGCGCUCCGUCAGCCGCAAAGUCCGGCGGGAGGUCCCCGCCAACCCAGUGGCACCCGCACCCGCAACUGCCGCAGCGUGAAGGGGGAGAGAGAGAGGGGGGGGGGAGGGAACCCAACCGAUUCCAGCUGCCUCGACGGGAGGAAGCGCACUUCACCCCGCUGAUGCGCCGACCUGCAGAUCUGCAGUGUUUCACUGCUGCUCUGAUUACCCUCUACUGGUCUGCCUGCCCGUGGCCCCUUACGAGGGGUGAAUCGGCCUUAAGAGCGAUGCAGUGCACCGGCUGGCUGGCUGGCUGGCUGCCGGCGACUUGCCAUGCGGGUGUAGGUGGAUGUGGUGCUGUGCUGUGAGGCUUUUCUUGGAUCCUGGCGGCGGCGGCGGCGGCGGUGACUAGAUGGUUCAAUGGUGGCAUUCCCGUCCGGUUGGUGCUCCCGGCCAGUCAGUCAGUCAGUCAGCCUGCUGCCCUCUCAGCCAACCUUAGUUGGGGCUUUUUGAGGAGGAGGAGGGAAGUGGGGUUGGGGUCCUAGGUUUGGGCUGGAUGAGUCUGGAGCGGGCCCCGCCUCCGCCUGGGUGUGCCUGGGUUGCAGCAUAGUGGUCCGUUGGAAGAGAGCGGUUGGGGUUCCGUAGCUCCCGUCAAGUGAUGUGUCGGCAUGGCCGCGGCCUGUGACAUUGAGAGGCAGGAGGACAGACACACGGUCUUCAUCACCUCGUUUUCCUCGUUUGGAAGUUGAAAGGAAAACUGGGUUUUAUUGUGUAUGUGCGCUUGGAUAGUAUGGUCGAUUUGAUUAGGCGUUACUUGCCCGGCUGGUUCGUGAGUUCGAAUCCACACGUGAUUCACAAUUCACAAGCCGCCGCUGGGUGGUGAAGUCUGAGGGAGCGCGGCCUGGUGCGGGUUGGCGUAGAUACGCCUUUCAAUACAGAAGGUUUACAGCUUUUUGCUCUUUUUGCUAUUUUACUGAAUUUUCCUUAACUAUGCAACUGUAAGUCGGAGGAAUGGAUGAUAUGGUGAUGAUAAUGAUAAUGAUAACGAAUAUGAUGUAGGUGCUGCAAGGCGGAGAUUUCAGCGGAGAGCUGAGCAAGGCAUCUGUGUGUGUGUGUCUGUGUGUGUUUUCUUGGGCCGGCAUUACUGGAGAGUAACGCCAUGGCCAGGACUUAUUUUUCCUAUGCUAUCUGUGUAUACGCGUAUUGCUGCGGCAUGGGCAUCUUUACAUGUGUACCAAGUACGACAGGGAUAGGCGGCAGCGGCACGUGGCAGUUUGGCCCAUUGUGAGGAUGUACAGCUGGCGUAUCAGUUUCAUCUUCCUCUGUAGUACGGUAUGCGUACGGCAUAUCCUUGCAAAUCCUCACCCUCCGACGGCUUCUCUAUUCUCCGAAGUUCUCGUGGCCCCGACCGGGUGCCCGACCCAAACACAGCUGUGGAUUGCGGGGGGCUAUAUCAACAAUAUCAUAUCAACAAACGUGGCAGAAAUCUGCUGCUGCGAGGUGAUGGGAUCUGACAUCCUCCUAAUGGCUUUCGCUGAGAUGGGCAGUUGACGAAAAGAGGCGCCCGAAACCCGUACAGACCUCCGUCACGAGCGCCACUAGUACUGCAGGAACUCUCUCCUCGACAAGCACGACGAAGCGGAACCGUGGAACGGACUGCCCCGGGAAAGGGGGCCGCUGGCGAAGUUAACCACCCUGUAACAACAUACAUAAGGCGAUCUCGAAGGCUAUCUGGCAGCAGAGUAACCACAUGAUAGAUGAGGAACUCGUCAGGAGUCGUAGGCGGCAGCUCCCGACGAACAUCGUGAAGAUGUUGAAGAGCCUCCUCCACUGAUCCCGGGCCGUACACCGUCGGCCGAUACGAUAUGUCCCAAAAGCGAAACGGACGGUUUGAAGAACUCGCACUAGGACAGCUUACAGUAGACCUGACGCUGUUCCAUACGUUCAAGCACUGCACGCAGAUGCUCAACGUGUUCAUCGGCGGUCUUCGAAAAGAUCAGAAUAUCGUCCAGAUACACUACCACGAACGGCAAACCCUGCAAGGCUUGAUUCAUGGCAGACUGAAAGACAGCAGGAGCAUUAGUCAGGCCAAAAGGCAUAACUUUAUAUACUGAUAAUGCCCGAAAGGAGUGCGAAACGCGGUACGCUCCACAUCGCUAGGAUUUAACCGUAACUGGUGAUAACCCUGCGUUAAAUCGAGUGAGCUGAAAACCGUCGCACCUCGCAAACGAUCCAACAAAUCAUCUAUCCGAGGCAACGGAAAGCGAUUUUUGAUCGUGAGGCUGUUGACUGCGCGAUAGUCAACACACAUACGUAAAGUGCCAUCGAACAAGACAGGCGCACCAGCAAGCCUAAGCCUAGCCUUUGGUUUGGACAGUCAGUCCUAGCGGACUUUUCACUUCAGCCCGAGUCUUCACUGCGACAUCCGAAGCCGUCCGAAUGGGCUCCUACUGCUACAUGACAAGGGCGAGCUUCGAACUGGAGAACAUGUAGACCUUCAUUCCAUGGUGUUGUUAUUUACAACGGCAUUUAUGCGGUCCUCAGAUCCAUGUACUCCAUGCCGUUUUGGCCGUAGGUGUCCAAUGCGCGGCCGAAAAGGCUUUGGUGUUGGCACGCAGAUCUGUAGUACGCCCACAGAGGUACAUUUAGCUUCCCGUCGGCGCCAAAACCGAACACUCCUUUAGCGAGUUCCCUUCGAAUUACAUACAUACAUACAUACAUUCUCUCAACACACUGGCGUUUACAGGGAUACAGAAGCCACCAGAGCAGGAUUCCUCGCCAGAAAUCCAUAACUCUCAUGUACGUCAGGUGCGUCACCCAAUCUUACAUCAGCUCAACCAAUUUCUCCCAGCAGCUAAGGAACCGAACUUUUGAAAUGACGGGAUGCUUUGCGGCGGGGGAACAAGAUUAACCACCUUGGCAACCACCUUGCGCUUUUUCAGCUCCCUUACAAAUACCUCGCUAUUCGCAAAUUGCAAUACACGCCAGUCAGUGCCAGCCCGUGCGAAACGAAAUGUCAGCAAAAAAAACUGCUACCGGGGAAACCUCACCACGUCGUCGUCGCACCACCACAAAACCCAAGUGAACCUUACCGGAGCGCCAAAAGACGUGUACGCCACACAAAUACGAAAUUAAACAGCUAAUUCUCCUUUUCCCCCCACCCACACCCACCCACACCCGCAUGCGCUUCCAUCAGCACUGCGGCGCCUUUCCGACGACGCACCACCAGAACCAACCUCCGGUAACACCAACCGCUGUGCUUAACGCCGCCGCCGUUGUCGACAGCAGACGAAAAAAUGUGGUGGUAUGUGCUAUGCAGACCGAAGCCGUGUUUAAAGCUAGGGAAACUGUGAAUGCGCGGUGUACCGGGACGGGGGUCAUUUUGGCACCCAUUUUGGUGAUUUAAGGACAAAUGACAAUAAAUUAAGUUAUUGUAACAAUAUCUGAUGUCGCCAAGGAGAGCCAGCAGCACCAGCCGCAGCACCAGCCGCAGCACUAGCCGCAGCACUAGCCGAUAAUUAACCCGGCUGACAUGAUGUAUACAUGCACCUUGGGCGGUACAGGCAAAAGCAUAAUGAGAGUCGCGCACACUCACGGGAGGCAGACACUUGGAUAUUUAACACGCGCCACAACACCGCCUUGCCGCAUUCGCGCCACAUGCACACACGCACGGAUCGCAGACAUGUGGCAGGCAAAUCCCCACACCUCCAGCCUCCGGACCGAGCUCAGUUCAGGACGAGUCGCGCGGACAAAAAACUGAUGUGUCGUGAAAAGCCACAAAAAGCUAGCUACGGGUCACUACCAAGUUCAUCAUUUCACCCAUAAUGGCGAUGUUCGUAAGUCGAAAAGCACGUUCCCCCUUGAGCUGCCACGUAAAGCAUUAGGCGCGAUUACACCAGGAAACGCAGGCAUGACAACCCGAGCGAUGCAAUCUUUUAUACCCCCCCGAAUAAUAAACUCUGCAAGCCUCCGAAGGCCUCUCCCCAUCACGACCUAGGACAUUUACUCAAAACCACAAACCAGCAUCUGCCUCCAUGCCAGCACACGACCGUGCGCAAUUUGCUCUGCUAAAUCAUUCAGAGCACACAAAAGCACCUGUUACUACUUAAUAAAAAAACUUGAAAAACAGUGCAUGGAAAGAAGGUUGCGAGCAUGAAUGAAAUCUGGCACAUUUCCAGACACAUCGCAAACAACCAGGCAGCGAGCCCAAACACGCGGGCGCGGUCAGCUAGCGAAAGGUCACUCAACCCGCUCACGUGAGGGAGGCGGUGGGUGACUGGAACCGGUGGUCCUCGGUGCCCUCUGAGCCCAAGGAUCAACAUGCACAGGAGGUGAGGUGAGGUGAGGUGAGGUGAGGUGAGGUGAGGUGAGGUGAGGUGAGGUGAGGUGAGGUGAGGUGAGGUGAGGUGAGGUGAGGUGAGGCGAGGUGAGGUGAGGUGAGGUGAGGCGAGGUGAGGUGAGGUGAGCCAUGCUGCGGCGACGGGGGGGCAACACGGGACCAAAUUUGACGUGGCGCAAGCCACAACAUAAAUGAGCUGAGCUGUACAGCGUUUUACGCGCUUCAGCAAAUUUUCAAAGAGGCACAGUAAGUGCAUUUUUAAUGGUACGGUAAACACAGCUGUCUGCCACCGCCAUUAGCGGACCGAACGCUAGCGAAUCUCAAAAGCAAAAUCAAAAAAUCAAGCGCCGUUUCAGCGCCGUUUACUGUCAUCAAGCGGCUUCGCAGGUACUUGCUGCCCUCACCCCACGCGCCCUUCAAUCAAGCAUUUCCCACCACCAUCACCACCUUAUCACCACACCGCUCGCACCACACCCCGCUCUUCCCAAACUCUUCUCAAAACAUGAAACCCACGCGCAGCAAAAUGCCGUCCAGGACCUUCAAUUCAAUUCGCUUUUCAAUUCCGUGGCACCCUUUCAUCUCCACGACGAUGAUGAUGACGUGCGCAGUACGUGUACACCAACACAAGGUUCAACCUUGUGUGUUGAGGUUUCGGAUCUGAGACCGCACACGGCGUCAAACAGCAGCCGGAGGGGUUCUGUGCAGGAAUAUGCCGCUGGGGAGGACCAGGACCCGCUGAUUGCGCUAGCUGGUAGGGCCUAGUGCGGCUGGAUGAACAGCCGCUGUUAUCUUCUAGCUAUUAGGUUGUGGCAUCAACACAGAAUCAGAAUUCCUCGUGCACAGCUGCCAUCGUCAUUUGCUAGCGUGUGUGCAUACCCCCCAUAGUCUUCGCCGGGGACCAGGACCAGGGCCGCGCGUACACUCGACACAAAUGUGCUUUUUUGCUUUGCUACAUUUUUGUAAGGUAGGCAUGCACAAAGACAGGUAAGCAGGAGCUUAGCAAUGCAUGUAAGGUUAAUGCAAUAGCUGCUUCAGGGCAUCUCAUCAUAUGCAAGUACAUUCCCACCAACAAGAAGCUCUCGAACCGCACCGCAAAGUUUCGGUUAGAGGGCCCUCUAAUGAAUAUGAUUCAUGAGGUCAUGAGGUCAUGGAAAGCCCGGCCCCUGCCCAACACAAAACCAACAGGUCCACCACCCAGCCGGCUAAAGGCACACCCAAUCGCCGCCAAAAUCCCAGCAGUGUACGACACCUCCGACGUCCGUACACAGCCUGCCGGCACUACUACCAAAAUCUAAAAAAGGAUUUCAUAAAGAAGCUCCUAAACCACCUGCUGCCGCCACUCUAUCGAUUUUCGUGAGACUCUAUAGAAAUAAAAAAAUAAAGGGGCGUCAUUAAAGGGAAACACUACCACCAUUACCAAUACCACCACCACCACUACCAAACUAUCACCACUAUCACUACUACUAUCACUUCUACUAUCACUACCACUACCACUACCAUUACCACUACCAACAACAGCUUCUUCUUCCCGGCCGAGAGCGCCCCAGGACGACUCGUCGGGCUCCUGGCCGGCCUGGUCCUGAGCGCGUGCUCUUUGAGGUUGUUUCUGUACUACUUUCUGCCCCUAGUACGAACCCCCCGAGUGCGACUUCGUAACACUGUUAGGUGACCAGCGGACCUAGAGCCCGUUCAGCUGUAACGCUACCCCCGGUAGGUGGGGAACGCUGCUGCUUAGUGCCGGCCGUCGUAACUCCUCGUUACGACCCGGCGGCGGACCCGGCGGCGGAAUGCACGAGACUAACCAGCCGUGUGCAUCUGGGGGCCCCCGUGCUGUGUUUCGGCCCUUUCGGCCCUGAGCCCCCUGAGGCUUUUGAGCCCACAGUGUAAUCAACGUCAUACAUAUAUGCAUACAAACAAACAAGCAUACAUACAUACAUACAUACAUACAUACAUACAUACAUGCAUACAUGCAUGCAUACAAAUGGACAAACGAACAAACAAACAUACAGGCACACUAUGCUAGACGGGGGACCGACCACACCAUGACCAAGGUCCGGGCAAUUUGCCAAACCCACCAAACCACCCACCACGCGAAAUAAACCGCCCCGCUCAAGUAGCUCACCACCAGCAAAAAAAACAAAUAACAAAGCUAGGAAGCCUGGCGCCGCUUUCCCUAGCAAGCAACUCUAUAGAAUGCAAUGGCGUUGCGUUGCGUUAUGCUGCAGCUCUGGGCCUCUGUGAAGAUGGCGCCCUCGAACAGCGGAGAGCCGAAAGGGCGGCAGGGGAAGGCGCUGGCGUUUGAAUCUCGGGAAGCGAAGGAAUCGCGUUGGCAAGCUCGUACAUGCUCGUACUAUAUACUCGUACUCCCAGCUAUACACAUGUGCUGCGAGUGUAGCAUCUAGCAUCUAGCCAGCAGCCUUCCCGGCCUUCACAUCAACCCCCACGGGGAUCAGAUCACGCAAGCAGAGGAGACCACAACGCAAUCGCUGGGUCAUGAAGACCAAGACGCCACAAAAUGAUCCAAGAUCGCAAACCAGAACGCGCAAAAGUAAGUCAGUCAGUCAGUCAGUCAGUCAGUCAGUCAGUCAGUCAACUAUGGCAUACGACAAUGCUGUGCUGUGCUGUGGUGUGCGGGAGAUGCCGCCGCCACGGCAAAACGUCCGACGAUAUGGCACCGAAGGCUCUUUACGAAUGGCUUUCGGAGAUUUUACGAAUGUAGUGUAAUGUACUAUGCAUAGAGCCGUCACCUAUGCAACUACAUCAUCUCCACCUCAAAUGUCAUCUCGACAUGAAUCUGGAGAUCUGGAGAACUGCCUCAAUCAGCUCUCAAUCCAAAAAUCUAAAUCCAAAAUCUAAUGUCACCCUACUGAUGGUGACAGACUGUACACUUCCUGGGCCGCCGCACUGGCGCUGCCGCCGAAAUGAUGCGAAGCAGUGUUGCUAAAGCGCGCCUGUACGACAGCGCGUUGCGUCCGUACAGAUACAGAUCCAGACUCUAGGGAUAGCCUGCACGGGCCGCGCCCACCACCUAGCUCCGGGGCGGCGGGGACCCCCGGGGCCGUUGACCAGGGGGUUCCCGCGCCUCGUCCAGCACCCGCGUAAGGCCCCGCCACCCCCCGGGCCGAUGCCCGGAGUGCGUUCGGCCCCUGGCCCCGACCGCUGACUGACCUGUACGACCUGUCGGCGCCGUCGGUGCCCUCUCCGCCGUACCUGCUUGACGUGCCCUCCUCACCACCCAACGACGCGGCGGCGGCGGCGGCGGCGGCCGCAGAAGUGCCGUCAACAGUCGACGCUCGCCGGGUCCUAAAGGCGCCGCGCCGCGAAUGAGGCAGCAGCAACCCGCGACAAUCCGGCCUGUACGACGGCUUCACCGGCGGCGGCAGCGUCCCCGCCGGCGGAUGUGGCUGCUGCAUCGCCAUGACGACGUCGUCUAUCGGCGGUUCGCUGAAGCGCCCGCCCCCGGAGGCCGUGGUGGCCGUGGUGGCCUGGUCGAACAUCCUGUAUAGAACAGUAAAAAGCCAUUGGGGGGCCAUUGCGAUGCGAUGCGAGCCGACGAGAUGUGCGGGUUGGGUUAAGCGCAGGGAAUGCACCAGCCCACUUUUGCGUCGCAGCAGACUAAAGAAGCAAUCCUUCGCCUCCCCCCGGGGAGAUCUUCGCUGCAGCAUUUGCUUGCUACACAGCUACACAGCUAUACAGCUACACAGUCCCGGUCUCCACCCGGGGGGGUCCGUUAAAAGGAUCGGCGACCUUUCCGCCACAUUCCCUCAUCCGCUAGCCGCCGCCGCCGCUGCCGGCCCCCCACCGUCCCCCCCCACUGUCCCCCCCCACCCGCAGAUGUAAGCCCUCGUAAGGCCCUUCCUCCGGGCGCACAGUCCCGAGCUCUCAGCCGGCGUAAAGGUGAGGAGCUGAAGAAGCCGCGGCCCCGGGCUUGCUGAGGGCCCGACUGGGCCCCGACAAACCCGUACAUCCAGGCUGCCGCCGCCGCCACCGCAGCGCCCCAGCUCCGGCGCCUCCGCCUCCUCCUCCAAGGUCAAGGCCCACAGCUGCUCCGCCAUCGCCUCGUUCCGAGUGGCCUCGUCGCACAUCACCUGCCCCGCCGCCGCCGCCGCCGCCAGCUUGGCGGCCGCCGCCACUGGCCUGCCCUGGUAGCCGAGUGCGUGUGUGCAGUCCUGGAUGCUCCACUCCGCGGCACCCGUCGCAAUGCCCACUCGCAAUCUGUUGGAAGCGGCGAGGCGAGUGUCUAUGUGUAUGUAUGUGUGCAUGCGUGUGUGUAUGUGUGGUGUUGUACAUUUUGCUACACGUUAAUCAUUUUCAUCAGCAUCAGCAUCAGCAUCAUCGACACCACGAGCUAUUCCCCAUCCCCCACUCUACCUUGGUAGUACAGUACAGCAAAGUACGGUACAGAAAAGUACAGUGCGUUGCAGUGCAGCAGAGCGGCAACAACACACACACAGACACAGACACACAGGCACACACACACAGACACAAACAGACACACGCACACACAGAGGCACACGCGCACCUGAGGCCCCUCAACAGCACGAUGGGUGUCAAACCCGACAUCGCCGAAGUGGAGGAGGAGCAGCCCUCCCCCCCACCCGGGGCCGUCGUGAAGGGCACCCCCUCCCCGCCGCCGCCGCCGCCGCCGCCGCCGUCACAGCCAUCACCGCCGCCUGAGGCUGGUAGCGGGACUGCGGCUGCCGCUGCCGUGGCCUUGCCGUCGGUGGACAUCCGUACAGCUGCCGUACCUGAUCCGGAGAUGCGAGACCAGGGCAUCCGCCGCCCUCGAGUAGAGGUCUGAAAGGGGAGCAGCAGCAGCAGCAGCAGGAGGAGGGGGAGGGGGAGGGAAAGACCAACCACAAACGAGUGAGGGGAGGGGGAGGGGGGAAAGACGAACCACAAACGAGUGAAGCUGCUGCCAGGGCAAUAGUGGAGGGCAAGGAGGGGGACCGGGGGGCCCAGGGGGUUGGAGCCCAACCUGACUGAGGGGGUGAUUGAGGGUGAAUGUCAAUGGGGAGUGGUUGCUACCGGCUUGGCUGCCUUCCCUUACGUCGCCCGCGAGCCCACCGUAAAAACUUAGNNNNNNNNNNNNNNNNNNNNNNNNNNNNNNNNNNNNNNNNNNNNNNNNNNUGCCGCCGCUGCCGCUGCCGGAGCCGGGUUGCGACCAAGCGGAGGGUAGCCGAGAGAAACGCCAACUUCACGUGCUGCUGCCGCCACUGCCGCCGCCGUCAGAGAGGUAGCACGUGCUGUGUCCGACGACAUGCAGGUCUGCAUAGCGUUGUCUCCGUUGUCCGUCGUACCACCCACGCCGGCGGCGGCUGCGGCGGCGCCGUCGCAGCCGAAGCUGCGGCCGCCCAAACCGGACGAGCUGCUGGCGGAAAUGGGCCGAAGGCAUGAAGCAGCUGCAGUGCUCAGAAUGGAGCCUGACGGAUGACGUAAUGGACGAGCGCUGCAGGUAGCUGCCAGGUGGCAAUGGUGUCGCCUUGCGACGCUGCCGUCGCCGCUGCUGCUGGCGGCAGCUAGCUGAGUUGUUGUCGCCGUACCAUUUCUCAAAGCCGGUACAUCGCUCUUGCAAUACUCGCCGUUAGACGCUGCUGGCGUCUCCGCCUCGCCGCCGGCACAAGCAGCGGCGGAGGCGGCGGAGGCGGCAGUGAUGGAGGUGGCGGCGGCGGCAGUGACGGAGGCGGCGGAGGCGGCAGCCACAGACGGUCCCUUCUGGGAGAUAAGGCCCCGCCUGGAGCGGCCCUCCUGCCGACGCAUCAUGAGGAAGGCCGCAAAGCUGCCGCCGCUAGCAGCGCGUACAACAGCUCUGCCGCAGCCGCUGGUGCCGCCGACGGAGCCGUCGCCAGCUCGGCGUGUCGUACAGUUACCGUCGUUGCUGCUGCCGUUACUAUCGUUAUUGUGGUUGUUACUGUUGUUCGUGGUGAUGAUGCUCUGGUUGCCGCAGGGGCCGUUGGCGCUGUUUGCGGCGGCGGCCGCGGCGGCGGCGGCGGCGGCGGCCGCCGCCGUCACCCAAAGAUGCUGUUGUGAUGACGACAGCGAUGUCUGCGGCACAUCGUCGGCGGCUGGAGGGUCCGGAUAGAAGCAGGCAUUCAAGCUGCGCCGCCGCGCCCGUUUGACGCCAUGAACGGAACCCGCUAUCGACGUGUCGAAGUACGGCCCCGAGGCCUCAACCACCUCGCACAGCUCGUGGGUUAGGAGCUCCUACCCAACCGCCAAUCGCCAACGGUCAACCCCAUCAUAGCGUACAGGCGCAUAAGAAAUGGCCGGGGGGAUCAGAUCGCGGUCAGAUCGGAUCAGAACAUUUUUCGGGAUUCAACCUGAGUCCAGAUCCAGAUCCUUUUCGGGCUGGGUUUUAGGUGUCGUACAUUUCUGCGGAUUCCGCCCUCCCCCAAUUUCCUCAAACAGUCAUUCCUGUAUCCUCGUAUCCAAGUUUUUACGGCCAGUGCACGAAGGCGUGUGUGGUGUGUGCUGAGGAGUUCGAGAGAGCGAGCUUACUGAACAAAUAAUUAUAUUACAUACAUACAUACAUACAUACAUACAUACAUACAUACAUACAUACGGAACAAAAACUUACCGGCGGCCAAGGUGCAUUGAGCAGAUCCCGCCGCAACCCCGUCGCCCAGUGUACGGCGGCCGCCGCCGUCGUAAAUACGACACAAACCUGUCCCUGUUCCAAACAACCUCCACCACCGCAGUGCACCUGCACCAAACCGCAGCGCGGCGGUUAUGGUGGUUGUGGUGGUUGUGGUGGUUGUGGUGGGGUUGGGAGGAUGUCGCAGGGAGCGCGAGUGCGAGUUGGGGUGAGGGGCGGGAGGGAGGGAGGAGGGAGGGAGGAGGGAGGGAGGGAGGGAGGAGGGAGGGAGGAGGGAGGGGGGGAGGAGGGAGGGGUGUCCAUAGGAGCAAUAGAGGAUAGGCGGGCAGGGGAAGGGGAUAUGGGCAUAUAUUCACGUGUCAGGAGGAAAGAAAAGCGGUGGUACGGCGAUACGGCGGUACGGCGGUAACCCUAUGCGAGAGGCCAAGGUUAAGGUAAGCGGAGACCCGGGGGGUACGGGGGUAGAAGGUUAAGGAAACCCAAACUAGGCUGGAUGGAGGGGGCAUGGGGGCUGCGACGUAGUAUAUCCUUACAAGCCGCAAUACUUGCAUGGCAAUGCAUGUGGCGGCAGGGGUGUUUAAAACCACAAUCCAAUGUGGCCUUUCGUACAUUAUGCCGUACCCUGUAGCCGAUGCCGUAUACGUUAACUCGCUGCAGCUGUGCUGCAACCGCCUCCUCCAACAGCCGCAGCGCCGCCUCCGUCACCGUACGAUUCCAUGCCAGCAGCACGUCCACCGCAGGAAUCUGUGCGACAACGUACGACACACGUCCUGCCGGCGCAUUGUACACGUCGCGCAGGGCUGUCACCCCCGUCGGCACGCGCAACGGCGGCAGCAGCGCUAGUCGCGGGGACAAGGUAGGGCUCGUGACCCAGUACACGUUGCGCAAUUCUCUUGCCGAUGGCGCCGCCGCCGCUGCGGCCGCCGCCGCUGCAGCCUUGGCGCCGUUGUUGCUCUUCGAAGCUGUCUGUGACGUGUCCGCCGUACUGAGGAGCAGCAAGCCUCCGCUGCUCAGUGGCCGUGACUGUGACGGCGGCGAGAGCUCCGCCGCCGCCGCCGCUGUCGUCGCCGCCGCAGCGGCGGCGGCAGCCUCCGAUGUGGCGACUUCCCCGCUGCUCGUCACAAGCCAACCCGACGACGAGGUAGCGGGCACGAAACCACCAGAGGCCGCCGCCGCCGCCGCCGCCGGCGACCCUGUUGCCUUAUGGCGGUCUCGCGCGGCGGCGGCGGCGGCGGCGGCGGCAUGGCACGAAGUACUUGCUAGACUGGUCGAGCGCUGCUGCUGCUGCGGCUGCUGCUGUGUGCUGACGGGCCGGGGCAGUGCGUAGGUCCCCAGGUGCAGAAUCUGACACGGCAGUGCCGAGGAGGUGGUAGCGGUGGGGCAGCGGCGGCGUGGGCAGCGGGGACGGGUGAAAGACUCGUAGAUACUUUAAAGCUUCUUCGCUAGCAAGAGAAUGACACCCAGUGUGUGUGUAUGUGUGUGUGUAUGUGUGUGUGUGUUGGAUGUGUAUGGGGUGGGGCGGGGGGCCCGGGGGGCGGGGAGCGGGGGAAACAACACAAGGAAAAACACACCGGCACGUUAAAAUCAAAAUUAACUUCGCCCAGUUACACGGAGGAGAUGCAGGGUGCGGCUCAACCGAGCGAGUACAGCCGUCGUACAGCUGUCACGCAGCGGUUAAGUGUCGUAUAGCUGUCGUACACACAUACCAUGGUGCCGCUAGGCUUGCCGCUGCUCCCCGCCCCGCCACAUUCCACAUCCAGCCGCUCCUUAGCGGUCCCGCACAGGACCACCUGACCGCCGUGCGCCAUGUCCGCCACCGCCUUGCAAGCAGCCACGCACGGCCCGCCGUACACCAUGCGUGCGGCAGCGGCGUUGUACUGCAGCUCCGAAGCAGAGGGCACCGCCCACGUGAUGCCCACUCGUACACGCAGGCCCCUGGGUGCGGGUUUUACCCCCCAAAACAACCCCCGGGUGUAUAUGUAUGUACGUAUGUAUAUGCGUGAGAAGCAGUUCGGGCCCACACCAGGGUUCGACACCCCGUACGGGGCCCGUAAGUUUUUGGCCUUUUUUCGGUAUCCCCGUACGGGCCCGUAGGACUUUACGGUGGCCCCCGUAAGGAUUUUGGGGCGCGAAGCGCCCCGUACGGGGCCGCCCCCGGACCGGCCGAAGGCCGGUUACGGGGGCUCCCGUAAGGAAUUUAAGGAUUUAUAAGAGGCCGUACGGGGCGGCAACACAGACGGCAUGCGUUGAGCGCGGAUUUAGCCGGCAUCGUAUUAUAAAGAAUCGCCUGACGAACCGGCUAAAGCUGGAAACGGUUGAUUCGCUACUUCGUGUGGGGAUGUUGGGACCUGCUGCUGAUACCGGGGCGAAGCCACUGAUUGAUCAGGCUGCUGAGAGUUGUACGAGGAUAAAACGGCACUUACGGCAGCUGAUAUGCUUAGCGAUAGAAAUAGCGGUAAAUUUGAUAUUGUUCAGUAUACCAAGGUACUAUGAUUACGAGUCAGAUUAAAUCAAAAACUUUCCUACUCGCGUAAGGGCUAUACAGGCAUUAUUCACAAGUUGUUUUCUGACGUUAGCAAAAUUAAUUUGAAGCCAUACGGAGAGGAUGAUAAUGAGGAGGUUGCGACUGACCCAGAGAUUGAAGUACUGGUACAAGCAACAUACCCCGCUAGUGACAAUGAGGCUUUUAGUGACAGUGACUACGAGACCGACGUAGAACGAGAUACCGAUGAGUCGUCCGUGGAUGAGGAUUUUGAUGAUGAUGAGGAGGACGAGAAAGAGGAGCAGAAGGGAUGGGCGGCCGCGGCGGCCAAGGCGCUUGGCUUUCACUGAGUGUGCCGUGUCCCCGAGUGUCAUGGUUCACGAGAAAAUAACGAAAACAACGAUUUACAGGGCAAAAAAAUGCAAAGCGUCACUUUCCACAGCGUUUCAACCAAGGACAGUGCCCCCGUAAAGGUUUUGCGGGGGUUACGGGGGCCCCCCUAAGGUUUUCGGCCGGUACAGGAGCCUGGUACGGGGGCCCCUCCGUAAGGAAAAUUUGGGAGGUACGGGGGAGCCCGCAAGUUUCAGGAAGGUCAGUGUCGAACCCUGGCCCACACAAUUUAGGGGAAAGGCCAAGAAGAAGAAAGAGGGAGGUAGGGGGAUGGGGGGGUAGGGGGAUGGGGGGGUAGGGGGAUGGGGGGGUAGGCAGGGGGAGGAGGGGGUCCGUCUGGAGCACCCGGCGGAUGGUGGAGGCGGCUUGCGGGUGGUGGCUAAUGGAGAGGGGUAUCGUGUACGGCAGCCUCGCAUACCGGCUGGCUGGCUGCGGGAAGGCGGGGUGAAGGAGUACGGGAGGGCGGGAGGUGUAGAGCGCCCGGCGGAGGGGUUGGGUUGGGGGGGACGGGGGGAGGACAAUCCCCUCAGCGUUGGUGGACCUUUCCCCUCCAUACACCCCUCUUACACACUGGCCAGCGUUAGGCCCAGAUCGAUAUAUACAUACAUACAUACAUACAUACAUACAUACAUACAUACAUACAUACAUACAUACAUACAUACAUACAUACAUACAUACAUACAUACAUACAUACAUACAUACAUGCAUACAUACAUACAUACAUACAUACAUACAUACAUACAUACAUACAUACAGAGGCAGGCGGCUGGCAGAAGUUAAGGCCUGACUUCUGCUCCCAGUCGAUCCAGUCGACCCGGGUUCAAAUCCGCCUGCCAGCUCCUCGGGUGUUUGAGGAGUGAUGAAAUGGGAGGUGGCCCCCCAUCAUAUGGACGGUGUAGGACGUGAUAAUAUCAACUUGCGAGCUGACCAGGAACUAAGUUGAUGCGCCGUUGAUCCGCUAGAUUUGGUUGGAUGCUGGUGGUGAGUUGCCGAACCCAACGAAUACAUUCUGAAGUCGGAUGGGGUGACGGAUUAGGGUGCCCCUCUAGCAGGGGAGAGCAGGGACUGCCCCGGGAAAGGGGGCCGCUGGCGAAGUUAACCACCCUGUAACAACAUACAUACAUACACACACAUACAUACAUACAUACAUACAUACAUACAUACAUACAUACAUACAUACAUACAUACAUACAUACAUACAUACAUACAUACAUACAUACACACACACCUGAAAAUGGGUCCGGAUGCCGAUGCCUUGUACAGCCCUGCAGCAGCCGUUAAAGACGACCCAGGCAAAGUCGCCGCCGCCCCAGCCGACAUCGACGAAAACAACGACAACGGCGGCGGCGGCCCUGCUACAGCUCCGGCUGCUGCCGACACGGCCGUAGCCGGCGCCGAUGCAGGCACGCAGCCCCGUACACUCCCACAGCGCGCCGUCAUCGCCGCCCUUCGCAGCAACUGCCCCAACGUCUGGCUCGGCUCCGCGGGGCUAAGCAGGCCGCCGCCGCCGCCGCCGCCGCCAGCCAUCCCGCGGUCCCGCGACCAUGCAGAAGGCGGCCCUGGUGACAUUGCCGUAGACGCCGACGCUGUCGUCGCGCCGGCGACGCCUCCAGCGGCAGCAGCCCCGCCGGCGGGGCCGUCGAGCUCCGGGUCGUUGUCUGACGCCGUACUGGCGAAGGCCACGGAGAAGCGGUGGCGGCCUUCGGCAGCGGCGGCGGCGGCGGCGGGAGACAGGACUUGGGAGGGCGCGCUGGGACUGCACUGCAGAUUGUCCACGUCGGCAUCGGCGUCGACGUCGACGUCAACCGUGAUCCUGUCGUCAAGCAUUACCGCCACUGACGGAGACGUCGGCUCGCCCAGUGUACGCCAUCUAGUCGCCGCCGCGGAGGCGGGGCCGCCACCGGAGGGCAGCCGCUGAUGAUACGACCGCCGUGGCGGCGGCGGCGGCGGCGGCGGCGGCGCCGUCGUCAUCGUCGUCGUCGGUCCCGCUAGAGGACCCCUCCAAAAGCACGGUGCCGGAGCGGAGGCGGGCUUAUAGGCACAAGCGUUAUGGAGCAGCGGCGGCGGCGGCGGCGGCUUCCGAAAGCACGGUACGGAGGGCGUGCUUCGCUGCAGCAGCAGGCGAUCCGCUUCCGUCGCCGCCAGGUCGUUAUCUUGGCACCGGGACAAGAUUGAACCUCCCAACGGGUCCGCCGCCGACAAACUCACCGACUGUCGCGGCAGCGGUAGCGGCAGCGGCGGUGACGGCGGCGGCAGUGGCGGUGACGGCGGCGGCGGGAACACCGCCGCCGCUGGCUGCGGCCACUGCGUCACGUACGUNNNNNNNNNNNNNNNNNNNNNNNNNNNNNNNNNNNNNNNNNNNNNNNNNNCCGUGGCCGGGUCCGGGCCGGGGCCAGCGGCCCGGGCGUCGCCUCUGCUGCUGCUGCUGAUGCGUACGGCAUGAUUAGAGCAAGACGGCGCACGGGUCGGAGCGAUAGCAGGGCCCAGAAGGUCUGGCGGCAGGGAGGUGAGGCUCAGCGCGGCUGGCGGCGGAGAUCCGGCCCCGCCGCCGCCGGCGGCGGCUCCGCCGGCGGCGGCGGCGGCGGCGGCGGCAGCGUCGCUCAUACCUUUGGGGCCCGGAAAAGAAACCGUGACCGUUGUUUCUGUUUUUCCAGCAUCGUCGGUUGUCGGUUGUCGGCCCUUUCGUUGCAUAGGCGAGGACGAAAGCGACGGCCGCGCCAUGGUGCCACCGCAAGAGGCGACGCCAUUGCCGUACAUAUCGUUCAUGCCCGGCUGACGCCCGACAGCCUCACCUCCGCCGCCACCGCCGCCGCCGCCACAGCCGCCAACAACUCCCGUGACAUUACCCUCCCGAGCAUGGGGCUCCGUUUGAGAAAGUAGCGACAUACAAACAGACGACACAUGCACAUGCUGUACAACACCGCCGCGAUCGCGACCGCCGACGGAAGUGGUCGGUGCGAAGGUGCCGUACGAGGACGUGUUGUAGCCGCUACCAUUGCAAUCGCCGUAACCAAAGUCGACAUCGCCGCCGCCGUCGGCGCCGCUACCUCGCCGUCCAGGCUCCUCGCCGUCAGCCGUCAACUCGCCGCCGCGACUCCUCCAAUCCACUGGAAUCGUACGGAGGGCCACGGGCCGUACGCGCGGUGCUGCAGCUCCCUGCUCGCUGCUCAAGCUACUGUACGACACGGCACGACUGACGCCUCCGUCGUACCGACUGCCGUCGCCGCCGGUGCGACUGACGCCGCCGCCGCCACCACCGUCGUCGCGAAUGUCCUCUCCCGCCAUGUACGACACCGUCAAGUAAUCCGGCGUCGUCGUCGUCCCCGCUGCCGCCGCAUCGCCACCGCCGCCAGGGCUGCUGCCGUAUACAGCCCUGCCCGACGCCGCCAGCGCCCGCAGCCACCUGGGAGCUCCGCCCGACGGCGGCCCUACCGCCCGCCAGCCCAGUGUCGUCGUACUGCUGCAAUUCUGGCGGCCAGAAGGGCGCACGCUGGCUCCGGCACUGACGCUGCUCCCUUGCUGAUGUUGCACCUGCGGCUGCUGCGGCUGCUGCGGCUUUCUGACAGUCCUAGCUGAGCGGGAGCGGAAGAGCGCCGCGACGGUGCCGUACCGCAGGCUGCGUUCGGGUCCAAGCCCCAUCCCCGUCCGCGCGUUGAAGGGGAACCCCUCCGGCAGGUCCGUCGACAGCGGGCUGCAGGCCUGUAUGAGGGGGGCAGUGCGGCGGAGGGGGGGGGAGGACCGGAGCUUUGGGGUGAUGGUGGUGGUGAUGGUGGUGGUAAUUAUGGUAAUAAAGAAAUACACAUAACCGGAAUGAAAAAAUAGUACUACAUCACCACUGCACUAAAUUGAUUGAUGGCGAAUGCCUACAUGCAGAACAGAACAGAAAAGCAUUUAACCAACCCUAAACAACUACCAACUAUCAACCAACGGACCUACCGGCUGUUCAAGCAGCAAGUCAGGCCAGGGCUGCACCAGCAGUUGCGCCUGUGGGGGGAAGGGGAGAUUGUGUAUGUGCGCGUGUAUGUGUAUGUAUGUAUAUGUGUGUGUGUGUGAGAGAGACGAACCAUUGACGCUUGAAGCAGAUACCAGAGACCAGUGAUUUUUUUUUCAUUUAGGGGGGGUCUCAAUUUAUUCCAACCUAAGUAACAAAGUUGCUAGCGUCGCCGUUCUGUAUUCCUUAAGAGUGGGGCGCUGGNNNNNNNNNNNNNNNNNNNNNNNNNNNNNNNNNNNNNNNNNNNNNNNNNNCGAUAAAUUACAACUCCCCUCAUAGACCAAGAGGCACGCACUGCGUUGGCGCGUUUUCGUUCAUGUGCGCACGAUCAGGUAGUCGCUCUUCUUCAUCAACGUGCAGGGGAUGCAGCGCACUUGGUCGUGCACUUCUCCGGCGUCCACGUCAGCAUGCACAGGCUGGGCCCAGGGAUACCUGGCGGCCCAGGCAAUCUGCCAUCUGUGGGGAUUUUCCUUCUGCUUGUCCCGCCAUGCACCGUCGCUCAUGCCCUUGCGGAUGCGCUGUGUCUGAGCCCGCUUGGCACUGCGAGCACUCGGGUUGGGCGCCUCGCCGCAUUCGUUGUUGUCAAGCUGAUUGGGUGACAGCUUGCGCUUAUGCUGAUCACAACCGCCAUGGAAGGCAGGGGUAAUGGCGGCAGUGUCAUCGGUCGCCGCUGGCAGCAACAUUGCCGAUGCAUUACCGACAACAGCACCGCCGUCCCAAACGCCUUUAUCAGGAAAAAAUUUAGACUUAUCUUGCUGUUUUUGUGUUUGUUCGGCGUUCAAGUCGUUGCCUUUUGCGUGUUUGUCUAUGGAAGGACCGGUCAUACAUUCUGCUAUGCCGCGUUGACUCACGGGCUUGACCUUCUUACGGCCCCUCAUAUCUAUUUUAUGAUCGAUAAUACUAAGUUCUGCACACUACGGAGCAAUCGGCAGCAAUGGACGUUUUUGGCUGAAGGAAUGAAAAUGUAAGGAUCGGCCUCACUUUGUUCCUUAUUUCCAAAGGCCAAAAAGGCUUCUUUAUUCCUUAAAAGUAAUAUAUUACUUAAAAAAAAAACACUGCCAGAGACAGACACACAGACACGCAUACAGACAGACAGACAGACACACACGCAGACAGACACUCUCAAGGCACCGUUUGCCUCGAAACACCGUGUCGUACACGUGCCUGCAAGUCCAUGGCGAACGCAACCGCUUGCUUCACGGUGAGGAAGGCCAGGAUGAAGGAGUCACCCUGCAGGGGGCCGCGGUGUGGGAGUUGGGGCGGCGGGUGGGGUUUCCGGGUUCUUCAAAAGGGUACCCAAAACGUUCGGGCAAAACGGAAAAACCUCCAAAAUGUUCGGGCCCGAAUCGGGGUGAAGAACACUGGGGGGGGUCCGCUGGGGAAGAGAGACGUCCAUGCCCUGAAGGGUGGGGGUGUUUCAUAUGCAAAGGAAACCAGAAAAAUAAACUGCCGGCAUUGGGAGACGAGAAUUGGUGGUCCUGGAUCCAAAAUGUUAACAAAUAGUGCCAUUAAUUCAUCAAUUUUAUCAUUAUCAAUAAAAUUUAAUUCUCCAUCUUCUGCUAAAUCUGCGCAAGCAAGUGUAAAUAGGGAUGAGAAGGAACUCCACUCCUCCCCAAAACUCACCAAAGCUCAUGAACAGAAUGAGCUCAAAAAGAACACAAAACUCAGAAAAAACGUAAACAAGCCGAGUUCAAAAGACGCGAGCGUUUGUUUUCGUGCGCCAUUCAAACAGACUUUCGAGGUUUUGACGGGAAUGCAAAUGAUGCCGAGAGACAUUCUCUUAUUUAUUAACAGAUAACAGAAAAAACGGAAAGGCAAACAAAAACAUAAACAAAACGGUGCUAAGACAGCACUUCUACAACUCCUCUACAGCACCCCUCUCACCACCACACUACGCUGAUCCUGAUUUGCCCCCCCCACACAAAAACACACACAUUAAUGGUACCCCACCCCACCCCACCCUAGGGCCCCCCUUAACCCCAGCCCCUGCAGUAUCCGUGUCUAUCUAUCUCGGGUAUCUGCUUCAAUCGUCAUUGGUUCGUCUUCUUAACACACACACCCCGGCCCCCGUCGGCUCCUUCAAAACCGCCUACUGGUCAGUUCUGCUUCUCUGCUUUCCUUGCCAGCAGCUUCACUCGGGUUCGUGGCUCGGUUUGCCCCUCCUCCCGCCCUACCUCCCGCCCUACCUCCGUAGCCGACUCGUAGCCCCCGUGCGCCACCAGCAACCGGCGGAUGCAGCCGUGAUGCAGCCGAACCGCAUCGGACAUGACCGCUGCGGGGAGCGCCUCCCAGAGCACAGUGGAGUCCUAAUCAGGAAACAGAGGAGGAGACACAACGGCAGGGGAACAUCGUCAUUAGCUCUUUCACCCUCCCCCGGCCCCCUUCCCCGUCCUCCUGCCCCCCAGCGCCUCCUUUCCCCUCCCCCUCCUUCCGCGCCCUCCUGUUACUCAAAACACAGAGGCGCCCGGCACGUGCACGAGCAAGUGCACACCCCUUCCCCCCACUCAUGCGGCUUUAUGUGAUCGGGAAAUCACAAACAACAUGCACACAAACAACAUGCACACAAACAACAUGCACACAAACGACAUGCACACAAACGACAUGCACACAAACAACAUGCACACAAACAACAUGCACACAAACAACAAAAAAGGAAAGCCGCAGCUCAGCAGCUCAAGAGCCGAAGAGACGCCCGCCACAUGCCGGGGUCACACGUACAUACAUAUUACAUACACAUAUACCGCGCCGCCCAACACGAGCUCCCUACGCCCCCUUUCCCCCUUUCCCCCCCCCCCCCCCUUGUCCGACUACCCUAAGCACUGCACCGGCUUGUCCGUCACCACUGUACGAUACACAGAUCUACAAAACACACACACACAGACACACACACACACAGACACCAACUCAGGCCCAGACGGCCGCCACAUAGAGGCCCAAGCAUACACCCACACGCUCUUCUCCUUCCCAAAGCAGAAAAUCUUUCGCCCGCUCUGCCUCUCUGGAUCCAAAUAAAAAUCCCGAUUCCAUUUUGGAUCCCGAAUUCCCCGCUUUGGAUCCCGAUUCCACCUGUAUGUCCGUCACCACCAGCGCCACGGGCUCCCUGGAGCCCUCCUUGUGGCGCCGCUUCCACUCCCAGACGCCCCCCCGAGACCGCUGCCGCCGCCGCCGCCAUAGCACCGCCCAGGCGCCGCCGCCAGCAAGCGCGCCCACCGCUAAUGUCGACACGACCAGCGCGGGCACCAGCGUCGCCGCGCGGACGCCGCCGCCGCUGCCGCCGGGCCUGGGCGCAGGCGCCGCACCUAUACGCGGACCGUGCUCACACAUACACAGCCAGCAGGGGCACCACCGCUAGUCAUGUGGUGAACCCGAGGGCCUUUUGGAGGGUAAGGCCGCACCUAGAUCGCAGUCAUGGGCCCCUGGCCACACCUCUGGUUUCAAAAUCUCCCUAAGACCCGCAGCAUCAAGGGCUGUCAUCUGAAGGGAGGAGACCGACGCACAGGGCCCUACCAGAAACCCUACUACUGCUAGGCCAAGUAGGGCACGCGGCACAGUACGGGGAAAACAAAGGUACGCGAAGCCGGGGGUUGCGUGGGCGAUCAUGUGUAUGUGUGUAUGUAUGUGUGACAUACGGACGCCUGCCUGGUUCGACCUCGGUCUCACCUCCUGAGCCGGGAUCGAUCGGGGGGCUGCUGGGGUUGGUGGUCAUAGCCAGGGAGGCGAGGUACUUCUCCAGAUAUAUCUGGCGGGAGGGUUGGGGCGGAGAGGGGAGUAGGAGGCGGGCAGGUUGGGGGCGGAGAGGGGAGUAGGAGGCUGGGGGGGGAGGCUGGGGGGGGAGGAGGGAGGGGAGGAGGGAGGCAGAUUCCGUUGGAUGCCGGUGGUGGGGUGCUGAACCUAAGCGAUCCACUGAAAAGUUGACCAGGGUGACUGGAUGAGGGUGCCCAGAAAUACCGGGGAAGGCAGGGUUUCGCCGGGUAGCGGCCACGGGUGAAGAUAUGCCCCCCCUGUCCCACACAUCAUCACUACAGGUUUGAAAAAGGAAAUCAAAAGACCCGCACGAAGCACGGCGGCAGCCGCUAACGGAGAAGAUGCAAAUGCAACGAAGGGUGCAAAGGGCGGUGGAGGGAGAUGGAAAAGAAAGCCGAAGUGCGCACAGCUGAACGGCCGGUCGCAAGCGGCCGUGCAAUGCCGUACCUCUCGAGUGUAGUACGCCGCCAGCCGCGCCUGACCUGAUCGAAGAGCACUCGACAGUGACCGCCGCGCGGGGCGAGAUGCUGGCGGCGGCGGCGGCGGCGGCGGCAGUAGAUCCGCCGCCGCCACCUCUUCACCAAUCUCCGGCGGUAGCACCCCCGCCUCUGCUACAGCCCCGGACAACACGCUAUGACUUGAUAACAUACGGGCCCGCCCCCGUCCCCGCCCCCGUCCCCGCCCCCGUCCCCGCCCACGCUGCUGUUGUUGCUGUUGUUGCUGUUGCUGUUGCUGCUGUUGCCGCUGUUGUUGCUGUUGUUGUUGUUGCUGUUGUUGCUGUUGCUGUUGCUGCUGUUGCCGCUGUUGUUGCUGUUGCUGCUGUUGCUGUUGUUGCUGCUGCCACCGCAGCGAGAGGCGGCGCUGUCGAGAGGCGGCGGCGGGGGUUGCAGUGGCGUCAAGCCCCGAGGCGGUUGCGAGUUGCUCGUCCAGUACGACACUUCCAUCUUCAAGGCCGGCAAGGAUGGUCGCCAGGACGUCGCUGUCGGUGGACGAGCAACCACCACCACCAACAAGAACAAGAACAAGAACAAGAACGACAAAAUAAAAUUCCGCAACGUUUAGUAAAAACACUAAAAAACCAGAAAAAAAGUAAAACAACAUAUUCAAUUAAAUGGGGUCCCCCUCUCCUGUGCUAAGUAAUUGACCUAUACUUUUAUACAAAAACAGUAGGCCGCGACGACUUCUCUAAGGUGACCGCAUACCCGGCAGCAAUGGCAGUAGCGAUAGCAGUAGCGGUACCAGUAGUGCCAACAGUAACCGUGUUUGGUACAAAAACAGUUAUGGCGAUAGUGGCAGCAGCAGCAGCUCCCGGCCCUUUCCCUCCCCCCCUCCAUCCGCCCGCCCGCCCCCCACCGUCUCGGAAAAACCCGCAUUAGCGUAUCAGCUGAAACCCGCUGAAGCCCGAAAACACACACAUACAUACACGCACACGCGUGUGUACACGCUUACUUGUACGUCAUGUGGUACGGCAUCCGCAAAUCCCAGGCACGGUUUGGAUGCUGUCGCGUGAACGCAAUGGGAGCCAUAGCCGCCGCCAUGACGUCAGAGUCGUACCCUGCCUCCACCCAUUUCCCCACGGCGUCAGUCGCCACAAAGUGCUCGCGUACGGGUGCCAUCGUCUGCAGUAAUGGUUCCGGCUCGUCCUUGUCGUACCGGUCCAGAGACGCCAAGUAGGCCAACAGCUCAAAGCCAAUGUACUGCACCGCCAACGGCAUCCUGUUUGUACGGCAAAAAAAAACACCAUCCGUUUACGGCACCGGCUUGUGCCAAGUACACAGGUUCGGUCUGCACUGUGAGCCCACGACGACCAGCCAUCAGUGGGUCCAGUCAGAUCUGGUCGCUUCUUGAUGAGAUUGAUUCAGGUUAUCUACCGGCUGGACAGGUUCCUAGGCAGCGCCUCCAGGCCCCCGUACGGCAGUUUGUGUACGGCAGCCGCAAUAACAGUAGGGUGGUAGCAAGUGGCGGUGGUAGCAUUGUGGGCCCAUUAUCCCCCCCUUCAUCCUAAACGCAUCCGCAAACCAAUACAGCUCCUCCAUACCCGCCUCCGAAGCUCCGAAACCCAAAUACCCCUCUCCCCAUCACGGUGAACCCCCCCCCGUUCCCCCGGACGGUGAUUUCCAUUCCAGUUGACUGCCCCCCACCCCAAACCUCGGGCCCCCCCCCACCCCAACCCCGACCCCACUGACCCGCCGUUUAUCGCCACCGCUAAAUUGCUCCCGGGAGAAAGCGGCGCAUGGUUGACCAGCAUCAUUUGACUUGGGGCCCCGGGGCCCCCCUCCUCCUGGCCGGCGGGUGUGCGGCCUCCCUGGAGAGAAUAGAGGCUGGCCUGGGGGCAGAGCUCUUUCGUACAGAGCUCCAGACUGCCGCCGCCGCUGCUAGAUCCAGAUCCAGAUCCAGAUCCACGAACCCAAACUCGGUGGGAUCCAGGAACCGGCCACACGCUCAGGCGGCUCAUCUCCACUGUCGAUUUGAACUCCUCCCGAAUGAACAUCUGAUGUGGCGGUGGUGGUGGUGGGCGGUGGGUGGGGCGUGGUGGUGGGGGUGGUGGUGGGGUGGUGGUGGUGGGGUGGUGGUGGUGGUGGUGGGGCGUGGUGGUGGUGGUGGGGUGGUGCGCAGGUAUAUGCGGUGGGGAAUGCGGAGAUGCCAAUGAUGCGGAAAGGAAGAGGUUAGGGUUCGUCACAAGUCAAAAAGAGGUAAUCGCAGAUGGGUGGUGGGCGGGAUGGUUGGGCUGGGGUGGGGGAAAGCAACGACGGGUCAUAGCGGUUAGGAAGGGGGGGAGAAGGGGGGAAGACACACAGACUCUAGCGCAGGAGGGGGGUAGGAGGGCAGCUGCCUGGGCCUCAGUUUCCCACUCUGUGCCCUCCGGACCUCCAUGCGGUGUUUUUCUCGCAGCCCUGGGCAGCCCUUCGUACUGCCGCUUUUGUCGUACCGCCUUUCUCUCCCCUUGUCCAACCGCCGCCGCACCGGCUCUCCCCCUUUGCAUCACCUUCCGCCGCCUCCCUCCCCCUCCUCCCCUUCCCCCCUUCCCCACCCGGCCAUUCAAAUCACGGACGUCCGAGUCGCGGUGCCGGGUUUUCGUCCCUAGAUACUGUUCCCCACCACCUCUUUUCCCCACGACCUCCAUCCACACACUCCAUCCCCCCCCCCGCCCCCUCACCCACCCGCAUCUGCUGUACAUACACCGCCAGUACCAGCGCACAACGGCCCCGCGCGAAACCCAGGCUGCCGUGCGUGCAGCCCUCAUCGGGCUCUGAGGGGGCAGAGGCCGCCAACAACUUCCCCGUGAUGCGGAACGCCUCAGCCGCGGCGGGAGUGUCCAGCAGAGGGCGCAAGUCGGUAGGGUCAAAAUGGACGCCCUGCUGCGACCCGUGGGUCUGUGCGAUGGUCGACCAGAUCGCUUGGAGCAGUGUCAGCCGCCGGCAAGCUGUCCGAGCAGCGACGGGGUUGGGCGGGCCGGCGUUGGAGUUGGGCGGGGGUUGGAGGGGGGGGGGGUUGGAGUUGGGCGGGGGUUGGAGUUGGGCGGGGGUCGGAAUCUCGCCGGGUGUCGGUGUCGCAUUUUUCUUUGCCAAACGGCACGUUUCUCCCCCCCUCUCUCCCCCUCGCUCUUUACGUGGCAAAUCCCCCCCUUGACACAACCGCCACAGGUUGCUAGGUUGCUAGGUAGCUAGGUAGUAGCAGUAGCUAGCUAGGUACCCUAACCCAGCAUCAAUCGCCUCCCACCCCAUCCCCACCUGCGCCGCGGGGCAGGCAAAUCGGGUAGGGCGGCAGCGCCCCGGCACCACUCGCCGCAGUCGUGUUGCUGCUGCUGCUGCUGCUGCUGCUUCCCGAAUCAAGCCCCCCGGCUGCUGCGCCAGAUGCGGCUGUGGAGGCCGCCUCCGCCGCCAGGGCCGCGUCGCGCGCACGCUGGUAGUCCUCCACGUACUGCAGCAGCUCCUCCCAAGUGCGGGGCACCUGCGACAGCGGCGACAUACAUACAUACACACGGGGCGCAAGACGAUCGCGCAGCCUUUGCCUGAGGGCUGUAAGGAUGAGCAUGGCUCAUGACGUGACGGGGCCUCGGACCCCUUGCGCGGGCGCGAGUGGGUGACGGGGUGUGCGGCCUGCGCAUAUGUGCCUGUCUGUCUGUCGGUCUGUAAGUAUGUUAGUAUGCGCCUCCGCCAUGUCAGACCAACCGCGCCGUUGCAGCUGGUACUGCUUCUGCUGUUUCGGCCAUGGGUGCUACAGCCGUUUCUCUCUUUUCCUCCCCGGGGGGUGCUGUGCCACCACAAGUGUUGAGCGCCGGCAUUGCAUUGGCCCAUAACGCCGUCACCGCUAUUGCUGCUGGUGCGGCUGCUAUUGCUGCUGCUGCAAUUGCUGAUACUCCGCCAACUCCGCAGAGGACCUACCUCAAGUUUCAGUCGGUCAAACACGUCCCUGCGGUUGAUGAGGUACAUGGUAGAGCCAUCCAGAGGCAUGCUGACGAUCUGGCCUUUGUACGACGCCAGUUGCAGCCGAAAAAGCUGAUAAAUAUCAGACCACCGAAUGCUGCUGACGGAAUCCACCAGAUGGCUGCAGGGUUCGAACCGGGACAUAAGGGCUUUGGAACAUUGAAUUAUCGGUUCGAGCGAUUUGGGGUUCCAACGUGAAAGUAUCGAUUUGCACAGGGGCACAGGGAGGAGCAGAUGCCUGGCACCCGGGCCGUUGCUCUGUCGCGGAUUUGCGGGGGACGCUGGGCUAGUGGUUGAUGUUUGAAGUGGUGAGACAAAAUCUCAGCUAGCUGCUGUACGUCCGCUGUGCGUGGGAAGCCGCUGGCUUUUCCUUCAAAAUAACUAAUUCAUAAAAUUUGACAAGAAAGCGGGUAGAGCAGAAAUCAGAUCGCGUCAUGGCCCUUCUCGCUUUUGCGACGGCCUCUUCCGCCCCCUUCCAGCUUCACGCCGUGCGACGCUGUAUUAUCUUUUCAUCUUUAUCUACGCCGAAUGCUGAUAUGCUAAGGGAUUUGCCUAGGGAGCGCAAUCGCUCGCCUUCCUCACGUGCUUUGCAGCAGCGCGCCUGAAACACUAGCUGCAUUAGCUGGAAUGUGACGAUGAGAUACUACGCCUCUUUCCAUGGAGCAGCGAUGAACACACAAGAAAACAUAUAAAGAAAGAGACUUUGCGGUCCUAAACCUUGGCGACAUCUGCCUUGCCCCAAGCAUACUCGGAUCCACCUGGAUACAGAUACAGAAUCCUGGAUCCCGGGUUAUAGACACCUGCGCGCCCCUCACGGACCUCAGGUCAAGGGACAUGCCGACGUCGGCGAGGUGCUGGGUGGUAAGCGUCGUCUGGAGCCACACAGCGUGCUGGCGUGAAGGAUGCAGGUUGACAUCGUUCGUGAUGGUGUCGAGCAGACGAUCCAUCGGUUGAACAUUCAGGUCCAGAGGCACGCCAGAGGCCUCCGAAAAGCGCAAGAGCGUUGGUCGAAGCCAAUCUUCGUAAAUGUCCGGAAGCAACACGCGGAGUGCAGGACCCCAUUCCUGUAUGCAAGUUGAAGCAAAUUGGGACGAGGUGGGAAAGAUAGAUUUGGGAGAAUAUUCUGAGUCCGAACCGAACGCCGGGUUGCCCGUUGCCGUGAUAAAACGGUUGGUGAAAGAGUGGACUACACAAAGGUGGCUCACCGGGUCCCCUUCGUUGAUAGUUGACCAACACUGAUACCAUCCCUUUACAAUAUCCUGCUUCAAGGACUGCCUGCUCCUUGACGUUAAGUUCCCUGCGACACAACUACUUUACGAGGCAGUGGACGACAGCGGGAUGCCCAGAGGGCAACAAAACAAGUAAUUUCAUUAGGUAAUGGCUUUCUGUUAUUCAUGGAGGCACCAUGUGAACGUGCUGCGGACCUGUCUAUGGAGGACGCGAUAAUCUGUGGGCAUUUCAUGUACAACGUAUCGGUCUCAUUGUCGCUGAUUGCGCUCUUUACAGUGCAGGUCCAUCCAAGCACCAGCACCAAGAACAGAGUGGCGCAGACCAUUGCGGCACUUGCACCUGAGGAAGAAACUUAAGAGCUCAGAUAUCUUGGGUGCAUAACACCACAUGUGGACACCUCUUGUCCAAAAUUCUAUGGCGUCAUUGUGUGUCGGCUUCAUUCCAUGUGCUCGCCCACGGCAUCAGUAACCUUCCCAACAUAUGCGGCGACACUUUGUUCCUGCGCUUGAACCUAAGCAGUUUAUUUGACCCUUUGGUACCUUGGCUAGUGUCAGUAUCAGGGCAACUGCAUGUCGCUGGGAUUCCCAAAAACCUUUACUGUACGAACAUAGACCCGAGGACCCGUACACGGCCUUGCCCUUUCUACUAUGUUGUGCCGGGCAUCUAACACAUGCAUACUUAGCGCCAUUAACAGUGCAGUGCUCAUAUUUCACUUGGCUUUCGCAUCCCUCAUUCGUGGAAACCUCACGUAUACGAAAAUAUCACAUUAUGAGAUAUUAAUUACAUUUCCUGGGAAGAGUUUUAUUGUGCACGGUUCAAGGCGCGAGUCAUCAGCCAAAAAGCAGAUAUCCACGAUUUGUGUAGAAAAAGUGUUUAGGCGGGACUGUGCGUAAUCAACUCCAUAAGCCCGCUUGAAGCUAGUGAAGACUGGUUCACCCCUUGCACAUUCAUUUGGGCUAUGCUGAAUACAUUCGAGGCGACUGCGCAGACCAGGUACGGCUUGGUACAGCAGCUGGUCUGGCAGUUUUAUGUCUUGUAGCGGACUUUUCCGGUUAUAUUACAUAUAAAUUGCGCAAUGCUUGUGACUAGCACGUCUGCCCGCGCGGCCGCUUGCAAGAUAUCACGCGUCCGGGUCAGACCAGCAGAUAUGUUGACCGGCAAAAAAGCAGGGGAAGAACCUCGCGUUUUACCACAUUUACCAAAAUUAACAAGCUUAUCGAAAAUUUUCAACUUGCGUGAAAAGGGAUAUACGCCCUGGGUCCACUGCAGCGUAGAUGAAAUGGCUCCCCCAGGAGUCUCCGCCAUGUGUCGCUACGGAGCCGCAACACGCACACCGAAUGCAGAGAUACAUCCUGCAUAGAAAUAGCUUUACCGUCCGAGGCUUGCGCAAGGAAGGAUGGUUGGAAAGCGCGCAACGCCCGCAACGGUCCGCAACGGUCAAAAACUCGUUGGAAGCAGGACGGAUUGCUGUCGCGCACUGCUCCCUUGACUCUAUUUGUGGAAACACAACAAGUUUGCUAUGCCAGCGCAACUUCCAUAGGCCAUAUAUGCCUCGCCAACCCGGAGUUUGAUCAGGCCAUUAGGUCACCAUCUCGCAACACGCACUGUGAAACUGCGAUGUGUGCAAAAAGGCGCGCUAGGUCGCUCGGACGGGUAUAGUGUAUAGUCUGCGCGCAAACAGGUUGUCCUUUAGCUUUUAAACCAGGGAAGGCAUUCCCUGGCUUCGAGUGAAGGAGCCAUGCAUUUAAGUAAGAUUUUCGCGCAGCGCGGAGAUAGAGUCAAGGAGGAGCAGCAGCAUCCCUUGCGAAGCAGGGUUUGGCAUGCGAGCUGCAGUUUUCCUUGUCUGUCUGUCUGUCUCUGCUAACCGCUCCGGAGCCUUGGACGUCCGCGGGCGUUCCUUGGACGACGGUACUCGGGGCCCCCGUCGGGGGAGUGUGCGCCCCUAGAGCACCCUUAACUGUUUAAUAGUCGCAACUGAACGGAACGGCCUCCGUCGCCAACGUUGGUGGUUAUGAUUUCUCUUCCCGUGCGCUGCUCAAUUUCGGUGCGUGAUCCGCUGUCGAGGAUUUAGGAUCCAACCGACAUGGCCUGCAGCUUUCCCUGAUAUGCUCCUCGCCGUUGCGCCAACCUGAAAUUGUGCUGCAUUUUAUCGUUAGGAACACAUGCCAUGCGAUUGCGGUAAAGCUUGUUGCAGUAAUCGAAGUAGUCCAAAGGUUUAAGGUCAGGCACAAAGGUUGGAACAGCAGGACAUAAUCAACAGCUAUAUUGCGCCCGCUCCUAGUACCGGCAUUAAGAUAACAAUAGAUAACCACCAGAAACCAUAGGUUACGGCAUUAAUAUCCUUGUAUUUGUAUCUGCCACUAGUAAGGGCGCAAAAGUCACUGCCGCAGCCCGUUUUCGUCUGUUUUCGUCUAGCCGCCUCGAGAGCAAGCAGGCAAACUUACGACAAACGUAAAAUUUCGAGCUCGGAACUGUGUUAUGAUACAGAAAAAUUCGAGCAGGAUAACUAAGGCUGCGCAUGGCUUGGGCGUCGCGGCUCAUCUGGUGGUACCCGCCUCGGUUCAUCACCGUCGGCGGUUCGUCGCUCGGCGCACUGGUAUACGUCACGCUGUUGGCCCUGGCAAGUGUGCUCAGCACCAGCGUAGCCGUAGUGGCAAGGUUAACCCUUAAGGUUAAGGACGUGGCGACCUGGUGAUGGCCCGAGCGGAGAGAGCGGAGCCUGCGCGUGUGUGCGGGGAAUGUAGCAGAAUAUUUUCGUUUGAAAAGACCUUGGGACUGCAGCAAAUUGCUGUUGCCAUAACCUAUCUUUAAUCGUGAAAAAGUUCAGUUUAAAUGUUGUCGUGCGGGAGAGCUUCACGCCUCGCUUUCACGACCGAACCUGACGACUGAGCUCUCUCGCCGUGGUUGCCGCCCCCUACAGCGGUUACCUUCUUAUCUUAUCUUCCUGCGGAUCUGCUGAAGACUCUGCUUCUGUGAUCCGCCGUGUACUAUCCGAAGAUCCUUUACUUGGGAGUAUAAUAUCUUAAACUGGUCUUCGUUUUCACCAGCAGUUCGGCUAACGUUCGACGGGAUCUGCCCGUGGCCCCCGCCUGUCGACCUGUCCCCGGGCCCGCUGCAGACCUCUCGGUCCUCCCGCGCACCGCACGCGCGCCACCCUCACCGCUACUUACAACAUAUAAUCAUUCAUCCGAUUUUUUUACUUUCAUCUCUUUUAUCUUUCUUUGCUCGUCCAUCGCUGCUUCGUACAUGGCCGAGCUCACACUCGAAUUCCUAAUCCCCGUGUUGCCAAACCAGGCCGUCUGGUUGUGCUGGCUGGGCACCUACCCGCUGCGCCGAUGGCAAUACAGGCACUUCCCUGGUGGGUCUUUUAAGGAGCGAAAGGAGGACGGAAAGGGAAGGAAGGGAUAAUCGAGGAAAGGCCUUUAGGAUGUCAGGCCCCAAAGGCCUGGAUUCGCUCUGGCAACGCUAUCACCUUCGCUAUCACACACACACACACACGCACACACACACACACGCACACGCACACGCACACGCACACGCACACGCACACGCACACGCACACGCACACGCACACGCACACGCACACGCGCACGCGCACGCGCACGCGCACGCGCACGCGCACGCACAGGCACACGCGCACGCGCACCCGCGCACGCGCACCCGCGCACGCACGCACGCACGCACACACACACAUGCACACGCGCACGCACACACACACACAUGCACACGCGCGCGCUCGUUCAGAACAGGGCUGUGGCGUUGCGUCUUGGUACCCCCGCCGUCGGUCACACACUUUUCAAAACACCGCGCGUGCAAUCGCACGGUCCAGGCCCCUUGCAGCCGUCAUCGCCAAAUGCAGCUAUUCAGCCACUAACGUAGCAGCGGUUGACGGGUGAUGCCGGCGCGGGGGCCUUGGGUGGCUGUGGCUGUGGCCAUGGUUGGCAGUAGCGCACUAGCAGGAUCGGCGAAGAUCGGGGCGCUCUGCAAGACGCGGUUAUUCAAGCCGGUCGUCGAGAUGAACGACUUUGACACUGUAUUUAUAUAUAUAUAAUUGUCCGCAUAUGGAACAAAGCAAACCUCGUGGAUGGAUGGAAGAGCGGGUACUAUGUCGUACCGCGCAGGUCCGCUUGGGUGGCCUUUCGUGGGUAAUCUGCCGCAAAUCGUUGCCAUGGACGUAACCAAGUACCUAUCGUACACGGCCAAAAAGUACGGACCCAUCUGCAAGGUACGGAUGGUCAUGUUUCUGAACUUGCGUGUUUAUGUACGUAAUUUUACGGGAGGAGCCGCUCGCAAGGAGCAAACACAGCCUUGACAGGAUUGCAGUAAAUGACAGAUGAUAUCACCAUCAACGUGGUCGGCGGGUAGUCAUUCAAGCACACGCAACGCUUUGUCCGUUCCGUCGUACACAAUAUGCCAGAUAAUGGUUCUUACGGCAUGUACAGCACGCCACGUGUGACGAACCUGAGGCGUCCAGGAAUUUCCGCGUGCGCUUUGAACAUGUGCCCGUAUAAUUGUCAACUACCAACCUAUCCAACGAACAUUUAAAUACCUACUUAACUUCCAUCUAUUCUCCAGGCCGGCUUGCCAAUACUAUUUUUUCUGCUUUUUUACUCCUGGCGGCCUAGGUAGGUAGUCUUUCCGACAUCUUCUUCACUUCGUCAUCCCGAGGUCACGGUCUCCACGGACGCCUUUCGGUCAGUUCUACGUUUGAUACUCUCUUGCCCUGGCAGCAGCUUCAAUCGUGUGUGGUUCGUCUUUCCCCCCUCCCCCCUCCCCCCGCCCUCCCCCCUACAGAUCUGGUUCGGCACCAGGCCCUGGCUCCUCAUCAGCGAUCCGGUGCUCGCACGGUGCGAAGAAAAGAGAGCUCCACCGAGUCCGUUUUCCUCCGAGCUCUAGUGAACCAGCGACAGCACUGUGCAUGCUCUGGGGGAAAGGUUCUGAAUCCAACCCAAGAAUCUUGCUGCAUAUCGUACACCUUGCGUCGUACAUUGCCACUGAGGUCGCUUGUAUUAGGUGUCCUCUGUCUUUAGUGUAGCGAUAGACCCUUCCCCACUAACUUCCAUCCGUACUUCCGUACUCAACCACUUCUCCGUACAGAUCCCCGCGUGUCCCCCUCUCCGUGCCGUGUUUUGCCGCCGCACCAUCGUAUCCGAGAUCUAUUCCCUCCGCCCCCUCCUCAACCGCAGUAAGUUGGCCUUCCAGUGCACUGCGCGUCCCUUGGAGCUCCCCACCUUCCUGGACACUCUCACGGGAGAGAACAGACAGAUAGAGCUGGUCAGCGCCUUCUUCGCGCAGUGAGUGAAUGAGUGAGCGAGCGGGCGAGUGAGCGAGUGAUUGAAUGAGUGUGCGAGCGAGUGAAUGAGUGAGUGAAUGAAUGAGCGAGCGGGCGAGUGCGCGAGUGAGUGAUUGAGUGCGCGAGUGAGUGAAUGAGUGAUUGAAUGAGCGAGCGGGCGAGCGAGUGAAUGAGUGAAUGAGUGAGCGGGCGGGCGAGCGAGUGAAUGAGUGAAUGAGUGAGCGAGCGAGCAGGCGAGUGAGUGAGUGAACGAGUGAGCGAGCAGGCGAGUGAGUGAGUGAACGAGUGAGCGAGCGAGCUGAGCCGAACCGAACCGAACCGAGCGAGCGGGCGAGCGAGUGCGUUCCAGGUUGCAGAGCGUAGGGCCCAGAAGUAAGCUAGGCUUUCCUCCACGCCUGCCAACACCCUACGACAAUUUUUCAGAGAUCGCUCAGUUUAAAUCAGCAGCUCUCCUACCAAUACCACCCAAUCAGAUGCUUUCGUGCAUCCGCACAGCAGUACCAGUCUAAACUAUAGCUUCAGAGCAUUGCCCUCGUGCAGGAGUUCCCAAAGAUGCGUCUGUCUGUCUGUCUGUUUGUCUGUAUGUAUGUAUGUAUGUAUGUAUGUAUGUAUGUAUGUAUGUAUGUAUGUAUAUGUUGUAUGGGCCCCGCUGCCUGGAGGGGGCAGCUGCCCGGCGGAUCGACGUGUGGGCGCUGCGCUCGGCCCCGGCAGGGCAGGGCCGGGGCAGGCCGGUGUGUUUCCCGCGUCUACUCCCGCCAAGCGUGCGGGAGGGAGGGGAGGGCCGCUGCCAACCCUUGGUGUAAUUCCCCAGCCACACAUGCACGCACAAUCUCGUCAUACAGCCGUCUCGCGACACAUCUCAUAAUAAAACCCACCAUCGCAUGCAUUACCCCGGCCCCCUCUGACGCGAUCUUCUAUGCAUUGUUGUUGUUGUUGUUACUGGGCCCGAACAGUGGGGAGACUUGGCGACGGGGACGCCGCGCCUUCGAGGCGUCCAUCAUCCACCCGGCCCGGUGAGAGCCCCUUCAGACGGGUGGGUGGGUGGGUGGGUCGAGUCUGUGGUCUGUGGUCUGCGGUCUGUGGUACGUGGUACGUGGUACGUGGGGUGGAGCAUAUGAUGCGCGCAUUCCGUGGUGGGCUGUGGGGGCUGAGGUGUGGUGCACGAACAUGGGGUACAACACUUUGUGCUACCCAUACGCACAACCUCUGGCUACUGUCGUAUACGAUGUACCCCAAACACCGCCUUUAUUUACCCAUUGACCGCCACCACCCAUUCUUCGACGCAUACGUACAAACGUACACACGUACACGGACUUCUUCCCUUGGUGCUUUUAGAGUCUGGACUUUUGGUGCCAUUGACUUUUUGCAUUUUCCAUUUUAGGCUCUUCAACCCACCGGCAGUACAGCAUCCGCCCCUUACACGCGCACAUGAUAUUUCAAUGAUGGUUUUUAUAAUUUCCCCACCCCCUGUCCCCCCCGUAUGUCACUGCCCGCCCCAGCCUGAACGCCCACCUGCCUGCCGUACGUCGCUGCCUGGCCCGGUUUAUCCCCUCCCUGGAGCGAUACGCUUCCUCGGGUCAGCCCCUCAACGCGCUCAGUGCCCUGGGUGACCUCAUGCUCGCCAUCACGGGGGAGCUGGCGUACGGGUGAGGACAGGAGGAAGGGGGGAGGACAAGGGGGGGAAGGGGGAUUGUGUUGGGGGGAAACACGGACGCGUGGGGAUGUAACAACCACCACACACGCACACACGCGGACAAACAUACGUGAGCACACACACAUACACAUGCACGGACAUGGACACGGACAUGGACACGGCUAAGUUGUGGUGUCACAGCCCGUGUGAAACCCGCGGCGCUCUUUGUCAGCCAUGAGGAGAUCGCGCGCAACGUGCUGCUGUGGUCGUACAUCACGCCCUCGUACAUCAUGCCGUACGACUGCCUCUCCGUCCGUAGAGUCGACUUUGAGGUGGACUUCAACUUGCUGGAGACAAAGGCGGCCUUCCAACCCGACAAGGAGCAGGGCCGGCCGCAGCAGAGUCAGCACCAGGCCGCCUACUACCGCAAGCAAGGCCCGCCGAGUGGGGGCGCGGGUGCGGGUGCGGGUGCGGGUGCGCGCAUGGCGUACUUCUGCCGGGACGUGUUUCGGACCUUUCGGCUUCAGGACGCCUCCAUCUACCUACCACUGCAGGUACCACCACACCAGCCUGCCCCCCCCCCUUUCUCUCUUUCUCUCUCUCUGGUUCUUCCACAAUUGUGUGAGCAAUCAAUCUAUCUAGCAAGCAAGGUUCAAGUAGUCCAACCGCCUACACGGCACCACAUCAGCAACACCCCGGCACAGCAAACUGCGCCACAUUACAAGUCCUUACCAAGACACGUACACGAGAGGCGCCCCAUUACACGAUUCCAUGUCUCGUAACAUGUACCCAGCAACAACGCCCCGGCCCCCCCUUAACAACACUACUGCCUGACAGGGUUCGACACCCCGUACGGGGCCCGUAAGUUUUUGGCCUUUUUUCGGUAUCCCCGUCAGGGCCCGUAGGACUUUACGGUGGCUCCCGUAAGGAUUUUGGGGCGCGAAGGGCCCCGUACGGGGCCGCCCCCGGACCGGCCGAAGGCCGGUUACGGUGGCUCCCGUAAGGAUUUUAAGGAUUUAUAAGAGGCCGUACGGGGCCCUGUAGGGGAGAGGACGGACCAUAUAAAGGAUAAGGCCACACACUUGGCAGACAUAAUUCAUAUUGCAAUAUUUAACUACACUUUUCAUAAUACUUUUAUAGCUUCUGGUCUGUAACAUCCAGCGAUGGCAGACAAUGAGUCGUCAGGAGGUGACCAAGGGCCUCCUAAUCCAUCGCCCUCCAAGAAGCGCGAGAAAAUAACGAAAAUAACGAUUUACAGGGCAAAAAAAUGCAAAGCGUCACUUUCCACAGCGUUUCAGCCAAGGAUAGUGCCCCCGUAAAGGUUUUGCGGGGGUUACGGGGGCCCCUGUAAGGUUUUCGGCCGGUACAGGAGCCUGGUACGGGGGCCCCUCCGUAAGGAAAAUUUGGGAGGUACGGGGGAGCCCGCAAGUUUCAGGAAGGUCAGUGUCGAACCUGCUGCCUGUGCGAUACAUACAGUAACUGCAUCACAGAGUGGAGUGGAGUGGUGUAGUAGCUGGUACACAGUACGGCUCUACAAAUACGCGCGUAUCGCGACCACCAGCAUCUCGAGAGGCCUUUUCAGCGGGGCCAGCUACUACAAGUGGAGUGGAGUGUUGGGGGAUACGGAAUUACCGGGAAUCAAGCAUCGCCUGUGUUUCUGUGGACCUAUCCCGUGUUGUGCAUAUACGAACCAAGCUUGACGCGCGAUCCACGCUGUGUCUUGCCGCCACACUCACCCAUGCAGCUCGUCUUCCCUUCUAUGGCCCCCGCCAUCCGCCUCCUAGCGGACGCCCUCCCUGACGCCAACCAGCGCCGCUCCAUGGGGGCCAGAUCCGCCAUGGCCGUCGUCAGCCGACAGCUCAUUGCUCAGUGGGCGAGGGCCAGAGCCGACGGCGGCGGCAGCGGAGGUGCAGGCAGCGGCGGCGGCGGGGAGGAUGACUCCGCCAGGGCGGUGGCGGUGGCGCCAGGUGCGCAUUCCCCCCCGGACGCUGCCGCCGCCGCCGCCGAAGAUUGCGGCCGCGGCGGCGAUUUUCGAGAGGUUGACGGUGGCAUCAGCGGCUCGAGCUUCCUGGCAGCGAUGCUUGAGGGCCGGCGGCGGCGCGGAGGCGGUGUGGGGGUGGCUGAGCAGGGGCAGGGGCAGGGGCAACAGCAGCAACAGCAACAGCAGCAGCAGCAGCCGAACUAUGUGGAGCUCACGGACGAUGAGGUGCGGUCGGGGGUCGGCGCGGUCCCUUCACGUUUUAUCAACCCUGCACCCGUUUCAUCAGCCCGCAACGGAACAAACCACCGCCACAAGGACCAACAGGAAACGCCUCCCCGUGUUGUCAAGUCGAUCGCUCCUCGUGCCGCGUAGACAUGCAAGCGUGAAACCCCUUUUCUUUCCCCCCCCAAUCGGUUGAGGUCGAAGCUGGGGGUUCCCGCCAGCCCCCACCAGCCCCGCCGCCCUCGCAGCCGCAUCAUCGCGACUGGCACCAUCGCCGCCACCUCCUCCUUCACGUGCGGAGCUCCGAAGUUAUAUUGUUUUUCUCGGGUCAAAAUCAAAUAGAGGCGCAAUCGGCUGCCGUCGAUGUCAUUUCCAGUUCCCCACCCACCCAUUCACCCACCCAUUCACCCACCCAUUCACCCACCCAUCCACCCACCCAUCCACCCACCCAUUCACCCACCCAUUCACCCACCCAUUCACCCACCCAUUCACCCACCCAUCCACCCACCCAUCCACCCACCCAUUCACCCACCCAUUCACCCACCCAUCCACCCACCCAUUCACCCACCCAUUCACCCACCCAUUCACCCACCCAUUCACCCACCCAUUCACCCACCCAUUCACCCACCCAUUCACCCACCCAUUCACCCACCCAUUCACCCACCCAUUCCCCACCCACCCAUUCACCCACCCAUUCACCCACAUCGGGCUCUCCCGGACGUCUCCUAACAGCUUUCUUCCUCGUUUUUUCCGCUAAAAUACUUCCAUCUAAAUCUUCAUCUUCACAUCCUCACCUUCUCAUCUUCAUUAUCGAUGCGACAACGCAGCAAAAGUCCCCGCCUGCGGCCUCAGGAUGUGCGUGUGUGAAUGCGCAUCUGCAAAUGUAGGUGAUCGCGCAGAGCCUGACCUUCAUUCUGGCGUCCUACGAAACCAGCAGUACAACCACCGCCCUGGCGCUCCUGCUGUUGGCCGCCCACCCAGGAGCUCAGAGGCGACUCGCGGAAGAGGUGGACGCCGUACAGGGCGGGGAGCUGACGGCGGCGGUGCUGGCCGAGGUGGGGAAAUCGGAAGAGGGUAUUUGGGCGCUCCAGGGGGCGUUCACGGAGGGUUCAUGGAAAUGAUUCAAUGCAAUGGAGAGGUCGUUUGUAUAUGCUUGCAUAUGUGUUUCUGUGUGCAUGCCGUGUUUCCCGUAUGUGUAUGUGUAUGUAGGUAUGUAGGUAUGUAGGUAUGCGUUUCUUUAUGAUGAUCUUCUGAGUGCCGCGAUGGCGGGGAGGAAAAUGUAUGUCGAUGGUCGUACACUCGCGAAUAAAUUCGUACCGAAGCGAAAUCUGUACCAGUCACCAGCGACGUAUUAUUAGGAUUUUCUAAUGAAACUGUAGACGUAGCUUGAAUAUUUCGAGAAGAUGUUGAUUAGGAAAGAGUGACGUUGCCAAGAGCCCAGAGUAGGGGAGUAAGCGGAGGAGGCGCUAUCGUGGUGGCGAAGGGCAACGACCCGGUGGGUUGCUAGAACUGCAGUUACAACAGACAAUGAGGGCAGCUGUCAUCUGCACGAAGCCAAAGCCCUGCUCGGGAAAUCUCCACGUCACCCCGCACUCCCCUCUCACUGACCCCAUGGCUGUACUGCAUAUCAUAGUUGCCGUACACGGAGGCCGUACUGAAGGAGACCAUGCGGCUGUACCCUGCUCUCCCGAUGAUGCACCGACAUGCACGCAACGACAUCAGGCUGGAAGACGGCAGAGUGGCACCCAAGUAAGCCGCGGAUGAUGCUUUAGGGUUUUAGUUAGGGUUUUAGGGAUUCAUAAGGGUUUGGCUUUAUGGCGGUUGCUGUUUGUGUUCUGCCAAAGGGUGUUCCAAACGCAGAGCUCUGAAGUUUUUGGGAUUCUUCGCUGCUUUGUCUGAUGCUACAGAAUGCUGCUGCCCCGUGUGGGUCUCACCGACAACGCGCAGGCUUCUUCAUUCUAGAACCCCGUUCGACGCCCUGACAAGGCGUGUCAACGUGUUAGCUUCAUUUAAAAUAUUAGGUUUUCAUUUACGAAAUACUUGGUCUUAAUAUACGUAUAUAUAUUUUCAACAAAAACGGAGGGAGAGUCGUUCACCGCGAAGCUGUCUGUCUGCUCCCUCGUCCUCUGGCCACCUCAGAGGCACCUUCCUCGCACUCUGCUCGUACAACAUGCACCAUGAUGCCGACCUUUGGCCGCAACCGGAGCUCUUUCUUCCGGAGAGGUUUCUAAGGCCGGAGGUCGAGCCCGGGGGCGGCGGCGGGGGCGGUAAUGGAGGCGGGGGCGGUGAUGGAGGCGGUGGCGGCGGCGGCGAUGGCGGUAACCCGCUGGGCCGUGCACACCCCUCGCCGCCGUGGUUCGGAUUCGGAUUGGGUCCCCGCAUGUGCGUGGGACACAAGCUAGCGACGAUGGUGGGUGCAACCGCAACUUUUACAAUACCUCUUAACAGUUGCCUGCCAUGGCCGCACACGGCCUGCGCUGCGCUUGUGUCCCGGCCAAGCCACGCCGCGGGCCAAGUCGCACCAAAGAAUGAAGUACUGGGGCCUUUUACGCUGACGACCACGAGAUGUGCAGGAACUGUAAGGAAAUGUUGAAGCCGCACGCUACCGGUUGGACUGGACAGGACGUGACGCCGCCGCCGUCAUAUUUCUCCCUGUGCGGUGUCCCCCAGUUCUGCUUCUUCUACAUUCUUUCCUUGGCAGCAGCUUCACUCGUUCGUGGUUCGUCCUUCCCCCACUUCCCUCCCUGUAGCAAUCCUGCGCCGCAGCCCCCCUUCUCCCCCCGGUUCGUCUUACCUCCGGCGCUCCGUCUGCCCGCGCAUACGCUGGAAUUCGACAGGUAGCGGCGGACUUGGACAGUUUUGCGUUGUAGGGGAUUCAUUCCUCCUGUUCCCGUUCCUCCCUCUCCCUCCUCGGCUGGCAGUUCACUUUCCACUUUCUCACAUAUGAUUCCCACCCCCCCAACCCCCCCCCCACACACACACACUCCCGCACACGCUCUGUCAGGUUGCCAAGGCCACGUUGGUGUCGCUGCUGCGGCGCUUCAGCUUCAGCCUGGCUCCCCAUCAGCACCUGCCCCCGGCUAUGGCCACGGGCCUCACCUACGGGCCGCGAGACGGGGCCGUCUGGCUGCAGCUGCACAGCCGCAACACAGCGCCCAUAGUCGCCGUCUGAGCCCCACCUGACAGCACGCAGCUAUGAGCCGAGCAGGGAGCCGAGUGUAAUCUAUGAUCGAUUUUGCUCGGAGAGCGGAUUUCGGCUGGAAGUUCGGAUGUCUUUCGGAAGUCGGACCGGAACCUGCUUCUGCGAGCCCGCGGUAGUCGUUGAAUGUAGGAUUGGCGUUACAGCGCUGAUGAGAUCGGAGUUGGUUAAUGUUGUUGUUGUUGUUAGUGGUGGUUUUGGUGGUUUUAGAACACGCCCUUGAUAAGACUUGGCUGCGGUAAAUUGAGGUUGAAGGAGCUGCCUUGUGGGCUGUGAUUGUGGCAUUUCCACGAGCUACACUUUUUUGUAACGCCUAUAAGUUCAGUCGGCCUGAGGCGGCUGGGCUGGCCGUCUGGGGCCCCGACGCCUUCAGCCGAGCGGUGUACGACAAGAGCAGUGGCCGUACCCUGGAGAUCCUUCAGUGGCUGCACACCGAGGGCUGCCCGGUGGACUGGGAGGAGGCCCGGAGCCGGGCCAAGACCCGAAAAGUUCAAUGUUGGAGGACUGCAACAAAAGCUGUCGUUAUCGUAGCCUGUGGGUUGAGAGCAUAGCGCCGAAAUAGCUGUCCGGACGAGCCGGCCGGGUCUACAAAAGUUGCAGAUGUGCGUAUUUAGCAUAUCAUGUGCUUCUGUGAGGAAGGGGGAAAGCGAAGGCGGAGGGGCCCUGCGAGGGGAUGGAGGGGAAGGGGUGGGAUGAUAGAUGACUAAUCGAAGUGCAUUGGAGUGGAGUGGAUGGGAGUGGAGUAGGCAGCAGUGGAGGUAAUCAAUUAAUGCAACCGUUCGUGCGGGGCACAGCACAGCAGAGAGCGCAGCACAGCCCGGCGAAUGCCCCUCUCGCCUGUGUUGCGGUGCUGAUUACCAGAUGCAUUGCCGCGGCCAUGGGCAGGGACGAUGGUGACCUCAUGGUAGGGACGAUGGCGUAGGAGGAGGAUGCAGCUGCACAGUUAGUUGUGGGGAAGCAAGGAGGACCUGGCGCCCGGCGCCUGGAGGUACGACCGAUCAAGCCAUGCAAAAGCGUAGUAUAUCUUUUGGGUAGUCUACUUGUCCGAGGGGAGGUGGAGGUCCUUAUGGGCUACCGACCGACCCCGGCUCCGGAACCAUACACCCCGGGUGGAGGACGAGGUGUACCCCAGAUGCACAGACGCCAUGUACCGGAUAUACACUCUUCCGGACGUGACCGUGCACAGCCAAGGCUCCGUACCACGUGCACAGCCCAACGACCUAUAUAUAGCCCACCCGACCCGAGGGGUGUCCUGGCUGGAGACAACUUCUUCUGGUGCGCAGUUUUGGAACAAGCCGAGCCAACCUUUCCUCCCCUCCCAGCCUUGACAGGUCUCAAAAGUACGCUUAUGGUCCUCCCCAAACGGGUGAUCACGCCCUAGCCGUGCUCACAUACGCUAAUGAUAGGUAACCUUUGGACAAGAUAACCUUCGGGGUAAAUGAAUCAACGAACGUAGUCCAUUGUUACGGCUGUCGUACAAACUGUGAUACGUUUUGUCAAUUUGACCACCAUCCCGCCAAGAGCCCGCCGCACCCCUGCCUACCUGCCUGCCCGCCUGUACCUGCAUUACAAAACCCGCCGUACAGACGACACGCUAUCUAAAGCAUCGUGGUGGACAAUACCGCAGGUGGUGGGAGCUACGGGCCAAUCCGCGCCAUGGCCUUCGGACACAUGUGCAUGUGACAUGUGCAACCAGCGGUCUCUUGAGUAUUUCUAUCCAGGAGCCGUGACGACACGAUAACCCAUCGCCCCCGAUUCUGUGAGAGUGUAGGCACCCGCACCCGUACCACUAUCAGCACCAGAAUCAGCAGCAAGCAGCCGCGUGAUUAUCACGAGCAAAGACAGGGCAGGUCUUUGCUAUGCUGUGCCAAUAGUACACCUAGUCCCCAACCCCUAGGAGCAGCCCCUUCCCCUGCUCGGCGCUGCUGAGGUUGCCGCCCAACCGUAAUAACCUUCCUAAUCCGCCCUAAUCCCUCCCGCUCGCUGCCGCCUCACGCCUGCUAAUGGGAUUCCAAAGUCAGGAAAGAAAAAAAAACUCCUCAAGGAAGACGUAAGUUUUAUGAGCACCAGCCGCUUUACCAUUUCCACCACCACCAUCGCCACCAUCACCACCGACGCCAAGGACAUUCACAAGCACAUUCACAUUCGCGUGUCAGAGGACCGUUGCAGCUCCAAUCCAAGCCCAUUUCAAAGUCAUUGGAACGGGCGCAGUACCCCAGCCCCGGUAACUACCGUUAUCCCACCGCCACCACCACCGCCACCAUUACGGACACCUCUCGCCGCCGCAACCCCGGUCACUGGCCCUGUCGGAAACACCCUCCCCGGCACCGCCCCGGGACUGGCCCCCGGCCCUGCCUCCGCCCCGGGCUUCGGCUGCGCGUACGGCGGAAAGCGCGGGUUAAGGCGGCGCCAGGACGCUGGCAGCUGCAUCUGUCGACCCAAUGCCGCGAAGCUUUCCGAAGCAAAGCGACCCAAUGCCAGUCUUGCCUCCUCCUCCUCCUCCUCCUGCUGCUGGUGCUGCUGCUGCUGGUCCUUCACCUCUUCCUCCUCCACCUCUUUUAACUCCUUUCCCGGGUCUUGUCCUUGCAGCCGCCGCCGCUGGCCUGCCAUCACAACACGUCGCGCCAGCAAUGCAUCCGCACUGCGACUGGCGUACAGGAGUUCGAGCGGCUCAAAUGCGCCGCCGGCCGUCAGCAGCGCCGCCGCCGCUGCAGCCAGCCGCCGCAACCAGCUGGGCGGCGGCACCAGCUCUAGCGACGCCGCAGCCCACAGCGCCUUGACCACCAGCGUCCGGUCCAUGUACGGCGGCUCCAAGUACGGCAGUGUUGCUUCGUACCAUUCCGUCAUCCACGCUGCUGGCAGAGUCGCGUCGACAGCCGCCGCCGCCGCAGCGGCGGUAGUAGUAGUAGCGGCGGCGGCGGCGGCGGAACCGCCGUCGCCACCUGCAAGCCGCCGAUCCAGGGCCUCCUGCAGACACGCCAACGCUUCACGUUGCGCCGGCGUGGCGGCCCCGCCGUCACGGAGCCGCAAGAACGCCUCCAGCUGCUGCCGCAGUAGCUCAGCACCGGCGGCGUACUCCAGUCCCGCCUCUUGCAACAGCCGCUGCCGCCGCUGCUCCUCAUCCUCCUCCUCAUCCUGGACCUGCCCAGCCGUAGUAGCCGUAGCCAUAGCCGCUGUAGAGGGUGUUGCCGGGGCCGCGGCGGGGGCGGCAUCACUCUCCCGUGUGGGGGGAGACCGCCCUGCUGCACCUCCCCCGGAUUCGGGCGUGGGGUCGCUGCCGCCAGGGCCGGCCGCGGGCUCGUCCCGUCGUACAUCCGCCGCUGCGGUGGCGCUGUCCGCCGCCGCACGUGCCACCUCCCGACAAGCGGCAAUCGCCCACAGCGCAUUGAUAAGGCCCUCCGGCGGGACCUCGUGGAGCCGACCAGUGGUCUGAGAGGUUGGGCCGUUGACGGUUGGCAGGUAGUUGCAAGUUAGGUCGUUGAGGCGCUGGGAUGGUAGUUAUCAUGUAAAGCGCGGUAUCGCGUGCUAAGAACGGCGCAAAAAGGGGGUUGAGCGCGCGGGAUACCGUGUCUUCAAUUGAUCAUCUUAUCUGAGCGGCGAUACGGGAUUUAAUGUUCACACAUGUGGAUAUAUUUGUGCACCUAGCAGCCCGUGUCCUGCCGGAUUACAUUGGAUGGCGGUGAGGAAGGCAGGCAAUGGUGGUUUGUGUCUUGUGCGGCUUGGAGUGCGAUUUCGAUAGACCUGGAUAAACGGGCCCGUAAUGGGGCCACCGCCGUACGUGCUGUUGCCGUACCAUGAGACAGUAGUUUUGGAGCCAGUGUCCCUCCAGGGGCAGCUGCAUGCAACCCAGACUCCACAGUACGGCAGUGGCGCCUUCAGGACUGAGACCCCCGACCCAGAUUCCGCCUAGCCAGUAGGCCUGCCGGGAGGGGGGAGGGCGCCAGGUACGACAGAGAAUCGUACGACACAGGAAGCAAAGACGCAACUGCUGCCGACGUCCGAAGCAACCCUCCCAAACUGCUUUGUCGGGGUCUAAAGCGGCAGGUCGUGGGUCAGUUAGGGGAAUGGAGGAGAAAACCGAUUAUGAUUCAAGAUGAUUACGUGGCGGUGAUGAUGAUGAUAAUGAUGAUGAUGUGAUGGUACGUACUAUGUAUUGUGUACGUACGUAUGUACGUACGCAUGUAUGUAUGUACGUAGCCCACUCCCAGUCAGGAUGAAGGCGGGGGAAGGGGUACGCUACACACACCGACGCUACGUACCCCCUCCCCCAAUUUCUCCCUGCUCUCGCUGCUAUCAAUUUGCUGCUCUCACACCACUCCAACAUGUGCCGCGCGCGCGUGUAUGUGUGUGUGUGUGUGCAUUCGCGCGCGCCAAACACCGCCGUACCAUACCGCUCCGCCCCGUACCUGGACCCACUGGUCGGGGGGAAAGUAGUUGUACGACGCAAACGCCCAUGCAAGCCGCGCCAGUUGCUCGGGGGGGAGGUUCGACAGGGCACGCGCCGCCUCAUCGCCACCGAAAUCCAGACCCAGAUCCAGAUCUUGAUCAUCUCCAGGAGGAUCUGGAUCCAGGGCCUCGCGAGUGGUGGAUCCCUUCCCUGUCCGGCCUCGUCGCGGUCGCUGCUGGAUCGCGCCGCCGUCCCGCAACGCCCCAACGCCCCCAACGAGGUGGGGGGUUGCGUGACAGACAUGAAGGGAAGAGAUGGGGGAAGAGAUGGGGGAAGAGAUGGGAGAAGAGAUGGGGGAAGAGAUGGGGAAGAGAGGGGGGAAGAGAGGGGGAAGAGAGGGGGGAAGAGAGGGGGAUGCGGGACAGACAUGAAGGGAAGAGAUGGGGGAAGAGAUGGGGGAAGAGAUGGGAGAAGAGAUGGGGGAAGAGAUGGGGAAGAGAGGGGGGAAGAGAGGGGGAAGAGAGGGGGGAAGAGAGGGGGAUGCGUUCGACUUACUGCGGCACGUGUCUGGAUGAUGUGCCAUUGCCAACUACAACAACACCGCACUAAUAACACUCCCCCUGCUUUUCUUCAGUUCUGCUUCUCUAUCCUUGGCAGCAGCUUCACUCGCUCGUGGUUCGUCUUUCCCCCCUUCCCCAUAUUAACUUCCUCUCCCUCUCCCUCCGCCCCCUGCCCCCCGUCUGUCACCGCGAUGACUCCUUCUUCACAAGUCGCGACUGGUUAGUUAGUUAGUUGGUUAUUGCUUAUCUGCUUCUUGCGUAACCUAGCCUAUAUCCUCCUCCUUGGCAUCAGCUUCACUCGUUCACAUGGUUCGUGGCCUUCCCCCUGCCCCCUCACCUCGCCAUCACCUCCUCGACCAUCCAUCGGUCCCCAACCUCGAUCCGUACUGCUGCUGCUGCUACUACCGUCCCUGUCGUGGCCGUAGCUGUACGACAUGCUGAGGGUUGCAAGCGCCAGAAGGUCAAGUAGCGGGUCGGCGGGUCGGUAGCCCAUCCGGGCAACCGCCCAGGCCACGUCCGCCGCAUGGGUGGGACUCAGGCUGUCCGGUCGCUCAAGGAAAAGCCGUUGGAUCUGUUAUGGCAAUACGAGCCGACGCAGUCGACCCGUAAAAUUUUGAUAUAUUUAGGAAAAUAAAAAAAAUCGUUUAUGGCGGGUCAGGUCACCGACCAACCGGUGAUGAUAAACUGUAUAUAAGUUGGCCUUAACAGCAGUCGAGGGUGUGUCCGUGCUAUGUAUCGGCAAUGUCGGGGGUUCGGGGUAGAAAGCGAGGUGGGGGAGGAUUGGUUAAGCAGGCCUGCUCAGCGAUGGGCAACCUCAUGCAAGGAACAUCUGAAAGAGGAAUGGAAAGAAAUAAAAAAAGUAUGGACAGGGUGAAGGGGGUACGCAGCUCUUUUGGACGGCUCACGGGAGCAGCUGCCAUCCGUCGUUGGAUGUCGGAUGGAAGCGCUCCUCGCGGAACCCAGCGAGCGUACUUAGGCGCUAAGGUAAUUGAACUUUAACUGGGAGUUGGGAUGGGAGUGGGAGUGGGAGUGAGGUCGAGAAGGUGUGUGUGUGUGUGUGUGUGUGUGAGGAGGGGGGGAGGGAGGGACCGGGGAUUUCCGGAAGGGCGGCGGGACAGCGCCGGUGGGGGGGGAAGGGGGGCCGAUGAACAGGUACAAGCAAAAUUGCUAUCGUGGAAAAGUGUGAUGAGUACGACACUCUAGGGUAUGCAGUACAUUUUUCCCAGGACCAAAACUCAUCGCACGACGAUGGAUGUGCAGGGUUUAGGCGGGAAGGGGGAAGUCGCCGCCGCCGCGCCGCGCUCGCACCUGCUGCAAUGCCCCCCCGACCCACGCUGCCUCCGGAACUAGUCGUACAUCCGCCGCCACCCAGACCAACAAAUCCGCCACGUCAUCAGCACGCUCGGACGCUAAGAGCUCAGCUCCCACAGCCUGGGGGGCCCAGCGGCGGACAAUAAAGGCCGCGGUGAGUUCGUCAGCGACGCCGAGAGCAUAAGGCCCCGGAGCGCGACGAAAGUGCGCUCUAUCCACAUUCCGUGAACGAAUGGGUGAUUCAACGGUUUGGCGCGGGGGGAAGGAGGAAACGUGGGGGCAAUGGCGGGGUAAGACGAACCAACACUGACGAUUGACGCAGAUGCCAUGCGGGCGGGGAUGGCGCGUGGUUAUGAGUAACGUUACCUGCAAAUGUAUGUGUUUAUCGAUAUGAGAGAAUGUGCUCCCAGGUCUUUUUUUUUGCUUAUCCCGGGCUGGAUUUGGAUAUCUUCACAUGCUACUGAUCUUUGGAGUGGGAUGUGACGAGAAACAGGAGACUUGGAUGGCAUCCGCCCUGAUGAGAUCCGCCUGAGGUUAGGGGUUGGGUGGCGGUGUCCUGUGUGUGUUGUGUGUGUGCGCGCGUGUGUGGUUUGUGUGUGUUUGUUUGUGUGUGUGUGUGUGUGUGAAGCACACAGCUGCCUACGAGGACUGAAGGUUCUUUUUGGGGGAAAUUGUAUGCCAAGCCAAGGAAAACAGCUGCCGUUGGGCUUUGUGUAGAGAAGGCGGGGGCGGGGGGAGGGUGUGGGGAUAAAGGUGGUGCGCAGGGGCAAGGCGAGGGAAGGGUGGGGGGUGGGGGGAUGUGGUGAUGUGGCGAGCUGAAGGCUAAGGAACCGCAAACAACACAAUGCGGGCACACGUACCACACACGGCCCCAGCAUCCACCUGGAACGAGUUCGCGGUCCACAUACGCACCCCCCCAACCAUGUAACACACACACACUCACAUACACAUACUGCUGCAUUCCCCUCAACCCCCCCCUCUCCCCCACGGCCUCGGCCGGGAAUGAUACGUCCGUCCGUAUGCUAUGUCUGGUGUCCGGUCAUACCUGCCCCCGUGCUGGCCCCCUGCACCCCCCCGGCUGCUCCAAACCCUCUCCCUGCCCCUCCCUAUACGUAGGAAAAACCCGAGCCGUCCCGCAACCCCCAGCCGCGGGCCUGUCACACCCACUCCUUCGUAAAUGCGUCGUCACGCACCGCACACCUGUAGCAGUGCCCGAGCCCACGGCUCCGGAACCUCCACCCCCAGACGCCCCAGUGACCGUGCAAGCGUCGCCAUCUCCCCCACCGACAACUGCGGGAGCACGGGCUCAAUGACGGCCAAGUACAUGUCAAGCCAGGCUUGCUGAGGUGCCUGGCCGACGCGUGCGAGUUUUUCUAGCGCCGACACCAGGCGAGCGGGCUCCACUAUGGGGGCCGCUACGGCACCGCUGCCGCCGGCACCGCCGGACAGGGCCGCGCAUUGGCAGGAACGACGGUACAGGUGGGGAGGGGGAAGACACUGCGGUGCUGCGGCAGCUGCUGCUGGUCCGCUGAAGCUGCUGGCCGUGUGCGGCCGCGGCCGCCGUUGCCGCAGUGUCGAAGGUAGGGUGGGCCAGGCAACGCGGUAAGGUGCGGGGAAGGGCUUGGCGGGAGGGCUGUGCGGCGGUGUGGUUGGGGGAGGGGGUGCCAUCGUCCUCAAAGGCGCGUGGAAGAGGAAUUUCCCUGGUGGGCAAGCGGUUUCGGAUAAGGUCAUAGCUGAGGUGCACGCAGCCGCAGGGGGAAAGGUGAACGUGCGCUGUUGAUUGGGAGUUUGGCGACACGGGAACACUUCCACGAGAGUCAAUGCGGGAGUCAACAACGCUGACGACGCGACCGUUGCUCUCGGAAUUCUCUUGGCGUCCGUGUCUAUAAUGUUUUGGCAUUUGGCGCCAUCACGAGUGCAAGGUAGCACAGAGUUUCUCACGAAAAGCACCGGCAAAGGGUUGGAUUUGUAAAGGCCGCGAUUGAUAGUUUUCAUGGUGCAUACAAAUUGAACAUCAUUCCAUGCAAUGCCGAUAGCUUCACAUGCUGGAAACAGCGAGGGAUGUAUACUGGCGCGAAACGGGUCCACAUCUUAACAUACCUACCAGCUCCCACCUCAAUGCCAGCGUGACACAUCCGGUACCGGUGAAGCAAAAAUUCAAGCCGAAAUUCGUUGAGGCUCAAUUCUCGGAAAAGCCGUACUGACGGCCCUCCUGGACCAUAAGAAAUUUUCUAUGUCUGUUUUGGACCUUCCUGGUUUCAUACAUAGUUCUUAGGCCAAGUAUAUUUUAGGUGCUCGAACUGCCGACACACAACUGCACUUUUUGAUUGCCCUCGCCCUUGCCCACGAGAUCUGCGGCCCCUCCCGCCACCAUGGCUGAGAUAAAGCCGACGCCCAGGAAGGUCAUUGAGACCAUGAAGGAAGCCACUGGUGCCACGGAAGAAGAUAUCAAGUCCAUGCUUCAGCUUUGCGGAGGGGACGUUAACAUGGCGACCGAGCGCCUCCUUGAGAGCCCGUUCCAAACAGUGGGCAAGAAGAAGGACCGCAAGGCACGCGAGGACGACCGCAGGAAUGAUUCUCGUUCUGCUGGUGGACGUGGCUACGAUCGGUUUGCUAACGGUGGCUUGGGAAGGGGCCGCGGCAGGGGCGAGGGCGGGCGUGGCGGCCGGGGGAGCGGCUACGCGACCGGACGUGGAUCUGCCGGGGCUCCGCCGCCGCGCGGUCCGUCCGCCGGUCCUCGCCAGACAAACUCCUCAAAUUUUAACACAGAUUCUAAUGGCGGUUCGGCCCAUGCCGAUAGCAGCUGGGCAGCGCCGACCGCUCAGGAUGGCGAUGCAUGCGCAUGGGGCACCUCGGGCAGCGCCUCCUGGGGUGAGGAAAAAGCUCCCGAAACUUCUACUUCAAAUUCCGCAGGAUUUGGAACUUCAUCUGCGGCUGCGGCAUCUACUUCCGGAAGCGCUUGGGGUGCGGCUCCAAGUGACAAUGCGAGCGCGCCAACUCAGCAUCCGGCACCGAUCAGGCCGGGAGGGGGCAUGACUAUGGCCGCGAGGCUUAAAGCGACGCAGCAGAAACCUCCAGUAGCCGCGCCUGCCCCCGCGCCUGCCCCGGAGCCGCCCAAGCCUGUCGCGCCAAUUCCCGCUGCAGCCUCCCCCACGCCCGCUGCACCGCCCGCGCCGGAGCCGGAACUGGUAGCAUCGGCCUCAGCUGUCCCAACAGCUGAACAAACCAUCACCUCAACAAGUUAUGCUGUGCCGUCAGUUUCGACAGCAGCAAGCGAUUGGGGAGCAAAUGCUGGCAAGGACCUUAUGGGGAUGCUGUCGGGCGCCAGUAAGGCCGCUGCGCAGGCGGCAUCCUCUGCGACCCCACCGGCAACCGCGGCUUCCCCC
RNAcentral lists this long non-coding RNA (61267 nucleotides) under Volvox carteri. RNAcentral describes it as "long non-coding RNA (VCAR_LNC002378)". Lineage: Eukaryota; Viridiplantae; Chlorophyta; Chlorophyceae; Chlamydomonadales; Volvocaceae. The record is from RNAcentral.